RNAcentral lists this long non-coding RNA (78251 nucleotides) under Vitis vinifera (wine grape). RNAcentral's name for it is "long non-coding RNA (VVIN_LNC000890)". The record is from RNAcentral. Lineage: Eukaryota; Viridiplantae; Streptophyta; Magnoliopsida; Vitales; Vitaceae.
UUGCUGGGUUUUGCGUUAUGGGGAAGCUUGGUCUGGCUACCUGUUUGCUCAUCCUUCUCAACUUGGCUACACUCCUCACUUCUCUUGCUCGUCCCUACCCCCCAUACCCAACUCCUCCUAAACCAGCCAAUAAAACGCACCCCCUUCUGACCCUUCCAGAUAAACAUCCUCCAUACGUCAAGCCAGCGCAUACACCUAAGCCACCCAAGCCUCCGGUGGUCAAGCCACCCAAGCCUCCGGUGGUCAAACCACCCUACGUGCCUAAGCCUCCGGUUGUCAAGUCACCAGUGAUUCCAAAGCCACCCCCAGUCGAGACACCAUGCCCUCCUCCCCCACCGCCACCACCACUGUACCCACCUCCGGCCCAGGUGACGCCCCCGCCACAAAAGACAUGCCCCAUUGACACUCUGAAGCUGGGUGCAUGUGUGGAUUUGUUGGGAGGGCUUGUGCAUGUUGGGAUAGGAAGUAGUGCUAAGGACACAUGCUGUCCGGUGCUGCAAGGGCUUGUGGACUCGGACUCUGCCCUGUGUCUUUGCACCACCAUCAAGGCCAAGCUUCUUAAUGUCAAUAUCAUCAUACCCAUUGCUCUUCAAGUCCUUGUUGACUGUGGCAAGACUCCACCUCCAGGAUUCCAAUGCCCUGCCUAAGGUAAUCCAUCCUUCAAUUUUGUCAUUAAUUUCACAUGAUUCGCCCAUGUCUUCCCAUAUACAAAGAAGUUGACUAGUGCUUUUCCUCGUUAAUGAUUGCAGUGGAUGACAUUAGUUUGGAAAUUGGAAGAGAAUAACACAUGAGGAGCGAGGUUGAAGAAAGCCAGUAUAGUAGAAAAUGUGUGUUUGUGUUUUGGUAAUCUCUCUGUUGUACGUAUAUCAAAUGGAUAUAGUAUUGUGAGGAGCUUUUGUUGUAUCAUGUAUGCAUAAAUGCAUCAUCUCGUGCAUGUUUUUCCGUUGUGGUGUUAUCAGUUAAACAUAUUUUAUACGUUUGAAGUGGAUAGUUCUUUGUUUUCCACUUUAAUCAAUCUCAACAAGUCAUCUGAAUUUUCAAUUGGGCCACAGCUUCAAUCAUCAGCUCAGCCUAAUCCCAUUUACCCAACUUAUACUCUACUAGUUUUCUAAAAUAAAAAAUAUAUAGUGCUAAAUUAUUAGCACAUAAACUCAUGAUCAUGCGUAUCAUUCUCAUGAAAUCUACAUCAUCCAUGAUUUUAUAUCCUAAAUCUAAACGAGGAAUGAAUCAAUUAAAGAUAAAUUUAGGUGUUCUUUAAAUUAUAUCCUAAUAAAACUAUUUAGAAAAAUCAUAUUUUAGAAUUGUUUUUAAAAAUAUUUUUCAAAUACAGCAUAAAUUUUCAAAAAAUUACUUUUAUCCAAAUUUUAGGUAAUUAAAAAAAUGUUUUUAUUCUGUAGAGAUAAAUAUUCAUUUAAGGUCAAAAGCUAAUGAAGUGAUGAUAAAUGUAACGGAGAACUUUCCUUGUAAUAUUCUGAUAAAGACUACUUAUUCUGCAUUUGAUAAGGGAGUGACUGAUGUAACCGUAUCCACUAAAGCUCCGUCAUCUUUUGUACACUUCCCCAUCUACCAAGCAAAGCAUACGUUUGUCUGAUUUAGUGCUCCUCUGAGUACCUUUAGUUGAAACGAUUCCUUUGAAAAAGUAGGAUUUUUUUAGAAAGCAUUAUAAGUGAAGUUUCAACUUAUCAAAGUGCUUUAUAAAUUUUAAAAUGUUUUUAAAAAGUACUGUCAAAUGGACUCUCAAAUGCAUUUUGCAGGAGAGAUCACUAUCAAAGUUGAAGGGGCCCAAAUAGUUGCAGGAGCCUUAUGAUUUCAACAGACCUCAAGGGACUGGUGGUGCUUGUCAUUGAGAUUAUUAAAAGUAAAAGUUAUUGGACUUUUAUUUCAAUACAUAAUCAAAAGCUCAGAGGACCAUUAGGCAUAUUCAACAGCCAUUUAGGCUUUGUUUUCUUUUUUAUUUGACAUUUUGGCUUAUUUUAUUGAAUGAUUUGGCAGUGCUUAUAUGCAUAAAAAAAAAAAUAUCUCCACUGAAUUAAAAAGAAACAAAGGUGCAGGUUUAGCAUAUGACUCUAUAUUAUCAUAUAUUUGGUUUGCUGCCAUGCCUUGCUGCUUAUAAUGUAACCAACUGUUCUUUUUUUUUUUUUUUCUCUGUCUCUGAAGUCUGAAUCUGUGUCCCACCACUUUGAUUAAUACAAAUGGGUUGAAUCUUUAAUUUUGUGCUUGGAAGAAUUUCUAAAAGAUUGUAGGAUGGUUGGAUAGGUUUUAGCAGACAGUGCAUUUGUCUUCCCACUUUCUCAGGAAAGAUACUUUUGAUUAUUCAAUUUUAAAGAUUGACUAAGUAUAUGGGGUGCAAAGCAACACUUGGGGUUGCUUUUCCUGUGUUAUUUUCCUUUUUAGCUCAAGAAGUUUGUUCUUGGUCAACAAUUUUAUGAUUGUGGUUAUGUGAAACAAGUUAGGGUACAUUUGAUUCCAAAAACAAUUUGAAGGAAAAAAAAAAAUAUAAGAAAAAAGAUAUAAAAAAAAAUUAUAAAAGUUUUCUUUUGUCUGAUAAUCUAUGAAAAGAGUUGAAAGAAAGAAAUAUAAAUUAUUGAAAUAUACAUUUUUUUCAAGCUUUCAUUAUAUUUAUUUAAAACCAAAUAAGGGAAAAAUCUUUUACUAUUUUCCUUUAUCUUUUUUAAGCGUUUUCAUCGUAAGAAAAUAAUUUUUCUUUACAUUCUUUUUCCUUAUUAAUUUUCAAGAAUCAUGUAUAUCAUGGUAAUUUUAUUUUAUUUUUCUUCUUUUGUUCCAUUCCUUAUCCUCAGGUUGUUUGAACGGUUUUUUAGUAAUCAAAUUUUCAUCAUCAUGUCAAUUUUUAUUCUUAUUUCUAUUCCUGUAUAUUUAAACACAUUUUCAUCAUCGUAUUCUCUAUUUUUAUUACAUAUUAAGAAUUACUUACCAAAAAAUUAUUCAGAAAUCAAUUUAAAUAACUUCUAAAAUAAUUUUUAGAAACUUGUUGGACACUUCAUAAAAAUCAUUUCCAACUCCUUCACAAUCACUCCCAAACCGCCUCUUAAUAUGAUUUAAGAAGCACUUUAAGAAGGGGAAAGUUGUUGGUUUAAGGAUCAAUUACAUCAUGACUAGCGGUUGUAAGUUGUGAGGAUGGCAUAUUGACAAUCAUACAUAGAAGGAAAAGAGAAGAAAGAAGGGUUUAUUUUUCUUACUUGAGUGCCCAGUGUCUGUGAUGUGAAUGAGGAUUGACUUCAUUAUGGUGCGUUCCAUUAAACCUUAGAAAAUUCAAAAUUGGGUCUGAAAAUAGAAGUGCUUUUCGGCUAACUAAGCCCACUUGCAGCAGCACAUAUGGACGUACACCUUGGAAUUUCCGACUUCCUUCCUAGUGUAGUGCCAUUAUCUAAUUUGUAUACUUUCUCCCAAAAAUAAAACAUCACAUGCAGUAUACCAUUUUAUCAUCUUAUGUGACAAGAAUUGAUAAUAAUCAAAAGGUUAAUAAAAAUACGAAAAUGUUAUCAAAGCUUAUAGAUAAUUAAAAAAUACUUAAGAAUAAUUUUAAAAUGUUUUAAAAGUGAAAAAAUUUUGAAAAAAAAAAACGAUGGGUAUUGCAAACGAAUGUUUCGGUUGCUAAAAAAAUAUAGUUUCAAGGGACCUUAAGAAUGUUCAAAAGUAUAAUCCUCGAAUAUAUUAAUUUUAAGAUAUUUUAGUUAUUUUAUUAAUGAUCAUUUUGUCUUAAUUUUUUUUAAUUUGGGUGAAUGUAUUAAGAUAUUUAGCAUAUGUAAAUACAAACAAUUUUUUUUUUCAAAAUGAUUUUAAAAAUUUUAAUAAAUGCCUAAUCAUUUUAAGGAAAUAAUAAUAAAAUCUUUCAACCAUUCUCCACACUUUUUAAUUACAUUUUUAAUAUCUUUAAUUACGUUUAUACUUUUCACAUUCUAAGCAAAGCACAACAAGGGUAAGCGGUAUAAUAUUGGAUUCCAAAAAGAAGCACAAAUCUUAAAAAAAAAAAUGUUGAUUAAACUAUUAAGCAUAACAUAAAACCAUGGGUAUAAUUAGGAAGAGUUAAGGGAAAGUUGUGUUUUGGUGGGCCAAUUUGUUAAAUAUAUGAUUUUUGGAACCCAGGUUUAUGAAAUAUGAAAAACAUCUUUUAAUGUGGAAACUUAUAUGAGUUUCAUGCACUCUGAGCCGCUUGUCUUUUUUCUACCAAGAUUGCCCCUCCCGAUAUCUAGGUCAGCAACAUCCGCAAGGCACGUCAGCACGGGCUGGAACUCCAAAAUCAAAUAUUCUUCUUCCCCAAAAAACACCCUAGCCGACAGUUCUUUCUUCCCCCUCUCUCAUUUGAUACCCAUUCCUCUCAUCUGUCUUCACUCCGUCACCGAGGCAAUUUGAGCUUCCCACAAAAACAAUGUAGUCGACGGUUCAACACCCUAGCCGACUGUUCCCUUUCUCUCAUUUGAUACCCAUUCCUCUCAUCUGUCUUCACUCUGUCACCGAGGUGAUUUGAGCUUCCCACAAAAACAGUGUUGUCAACGGUUCAACACCCUAGCCAACGAUUCUUUCUUCCCUCUCUCUCAUUUGAUACCCAUUCCUCUCAUUUGUCUUCACUUUGUUACCGAGGCAAUUUGAGCUUCCCACAAAAAUAGUGUAGCCGACGGUUCUUUCUUCCCUCUCUCUCAUUUGAUACUCAUUCCUCUCAUCUUUCUUCACUCUGUCACCGAGGCAAAGCAGAGAACCGUGUAGAGUUUUAAAAAAGUUUUGUCAUUUCAAUUGAAAAGGCCUUAAUCCCAUUUGUCUCAUCUAAGAUUUUCUCUCUCAAGGUAACCCAUUGCUUCCUUGUUUUGCAUUCACAAUCAUAUUAAAAAAAUCUGUUGUUUGUGUGGGUUUUUUCUGAACUAGGUGUGACUCAAAUGUUGGCAUUUAGGAGUUGGUACUGAAUUUUUAAAUUUGUUUGUAAUGAAUCAUCAUCGUAUUUUUCAAUUCCAUGCGUUUUUUUUUUUAGUUUCUACUAUUUUUUUUUGGAUUGGCAAAUUCUCAAAACUCUGUUGUUUUGAUAUAAAAUGAAGGCAAGAAUAUGGGUUGGGAAUUGUUUUGCUGAAAAACCCAUUUGUUUUGGUUGUGGUUUAGAACUAGGAAAAACAUAUUUGAAUUGAUUUGCCAAAAAGGAAUUUUUUUUUUGCCUUUUCGUUUUUGGGUAUUGGGAAACAAUGCAUUUUUAGUGAAACUCAUUUAUUGGAUUGUAUUUUUGGAUUGGGCUAUGUAGUAGAUUACCAAAAGGGAACACUUUUUGGGGAUGAUGUAUUUCUUUUGAGAGCGAAAUAAGUGCUUCUGAAAUGGUGAUUUUUAGAUUCCAAAUUACUCAGGUUUUUGGGUUUUUGUGAAUUGAUGGUUAAUGGGUGCUAAAGUUUUCGUUGUUUUUUUUUUGUUUUAUAUGUAUAAUUUAAAUUCACGUCCCAUUUCUUCAAAUAUUUUUGGUUAGUAUAUGUUACUCUUUUUGUUGAUUAGUAAUUGAUAUUGAUUUAGAGAUUCCUUUUAGAAGAUGGAAAUAGAAAAGGCUAUAUAGGAACUAUUGGUAUCAUGCACUGGUUUAAUUUCCUUCAUAACUCUUUUGGAAUUAGGGAAUGCAAGUAGAAUGGAUGAAAUGCAUUUUGAUCUAUAUAUUGUUUUUUUUGUUUGUCUGUGACUGCUCCCAUUUAGCACAAAAUGACGUAGAUUUGAUAAUUUUAUCAGUUUGAUUUUCAUAUAUUUAUAUAAAAUUACUUUAACUAUUAGGCAGUUGCUAUAAAUGCUUAGAAAAAAGGAUAUGGGUUUUCAGUAGUUAAAAUUAUCUAGUCAAAUUUAUAUUUUAUAUAUACAAGUAAUAAUUGUAACCCUUAAAUGAAGUAACUAAAUUUUAAAUGACAUAAAUUAAGAAAUGAAAAUUUUAUGACACUCUAAUCUUCAGAUAAAUGGUUCUUUAUGAAUAAACAGUGUGGGGAGGAGCCAGAUCUCCAUGGCUGACCAUAAAGCUGUUCCGAUUCCAUUGGUUUUUGUAUUUACCGUAACAAUACAAACUUCCAAUGCUGAUGAAGAGCUCGUAAAAAAAUAAAUUGAGCUAACAAAACCUUGCUUGUCAUUAUGACUGACCAAAUUUGUAGUCGUGGUGUGCUAGUUAGAAAAUGUUCACUUCUCAUAUUAGCCUUAGUAACUUCAUUCCUUAACAUUAGGUAAUUCCUUUAUCAAUACGUAGGUCGUUUCGCAAGGAUAUAACCAAUCAAUCGCAUUGCAUGGGCUACGUGCAUAAAACAUACUCAAUUGCGCAUCGUGUUCUAUUUUGGUGAUCAGUUGGUUAGCCUUAUUCUACUACUAAGUUAACCUUAUGUACUAGCUCAUUAUUCCUGAAAGUACUACCUUAAUCGACUGUAGGUACUGCCUUAGUCAACAUCAGGUACUACCUGAGCCCACCUUGGGUACUACCUGUGUGACGAUUGAAAACUGCAUUUUAUUCAAUUGUAGAUAAUUCAUAUGUGAAUAAAAGUUGACUUUAUUUUUAACCCAAUGGGGUCAAUUUGUCAAACAUAAGACCCAGAGGCUGUUUUCAAGCCAUGCAUAAAUUAAAUUUUAUUCACUUCCACAUACAACUUAUCAUGACAUUAUGUGUUUGAUUACUCUGCUCAUUUGGUUCCCCUUAUCCUUACUACAGACUGUAUAGGUACUAUCUUAAUUAACCUUAGGUCUAACCUUAGUAAUCUUUAGGUGCUACCAUAGUUGGACUUGCACACUACUUGUGCGCAUCAUCCAAUUAUCAUGUUUGAACCUUAAUUGCAUAGUUCCUUGUUGGAAUCUUCGAAAGUGCGUAUGUGACGCUUAUAUAUUUCCUACAUCAAAGUAUAUGUAAUCAAGAUACAUAAUUCCUCAAUCUUUCGUUGUUGUAUUGUUUGUAACAAAUCUUUAUGUCAUUAAGGAAAUGGAAGAUGAGAUGUUUUGUUACAUUCAUGAAGGUGGUGAGCUUGUUAAGAUUGUUGUUGGGUCCAUUGAAUAUAAGAGUGGUCGGACCAAUUGCAUUGUUGUUAGCAAGAAUAUCUCACAUUUUGAAUUCAUUUCAAAAGUAUGUGGUGAACUUAACUUGGAGCCCAAUUCAAUAAAAUUGGAUUUCACAGUGAAGUUUGACCCAUCAUGUCUACUCCCCUUGCAUAAUGAUGCCGACAUAGUCAAGAUGUUCAAAUUCAACGACAUGUUUUCUCAUGCCUAUGUCUUCCAAUGUAUUGAAGGUGGUGAUGGCUUCAUUUGCCAUACUAGGUACCUAAUGUCUUUCCACAAUAAUGUUCCCUUUUGUAUAAUCGCUUUUCACACCUAGGUGGAUGGAUGAGCAAUUUAUUUCCCUGUGUUUUUUCCAAUGUCCCAACACCUAUUGUUGCUUCAAACUCGGUUCAUGUUUCAUUUAUUGGCAAGCCCCAAUUGCACAUGUCUAAUGAGUCGCCCACAAUUGAGUCAUUUGGGUUUUCCCAAAGAUGUGCUGAAACAAAUAUCGUUCAACUUCAACCAAGCCGGUUCGAAGAUUCAAUUGUAGGUAGUGGACAUACCUUCCCAAAUGCCUCGGGGUUUCAAGAUGCAAUUUAUUUGAUGUCUUUGGCUGGAAAAUUCCGAUAUUCUUACAAAAGGAAUAGUCCAAAACACAUGACCGUAGUAUGCACAAUUGAAGAUUGUCCUUGGAAAAUCACUGCCCGUGCAAUAGGGGAUUCGAAGAUUGUUCAAGUACACACAUUUCGAAAUUUGCAUAACCAUUGCUUGGAAGAUGUUGCCUUGUGUCAACCUUUAGUGAGAUCCACUCGUGUGUCCUUGGUCAUUGAUGAUGUCAUUCGAUCUACUCCUAAAUACCAACCACAACAAAUUUGUAAGGACUUUGUAAUGUAACAUGACAUCCAGUUGACUUACCUAUAAGAAUGGAAACUGAAGGAGAAGGCUAAGAAACACAUUUAUGGACAACCCAAGAAUUAUUACAAAUUGUUACCAUGUAUGUGUGAAAGAAUUCUUGCAACAAAUUUGGGAUUGAGUGUUGAGUUGAGUUAUUCUGAUGAUGGCCAUUUUGAGCAGCUUUUUGUUGCUCAUUCAAUAUCUAUUGAAGGGUUUAUAAGGGGGUGUAAACCAAUCAUUGCAAUUGAUUUGGCCCAUAUGAGUGGGCCUUAUGACGGUGCUUUAUUUUUAGCCACCGCCUACGAUGCUAAUGACUCUAUGUUCCCUUUAGCCUUGGAGUGAUGAGUUCAUAAAAUUAUGAAGAUUGGUUAUGGUUCUUGGAAAAACUGAAGAUAAUUGUGGGAAACAAGGAAGUUAUUAUUAUCUCAUAUAGACAUCCUGCCCUACUUCGUAGUGUUCCUGAAGUGUCUGGCCUUGAAAACCAUGCCUAUUGCUGCCGUCACCUGAAAGAGAAUUUUAGUAGUUUCUUGUCCAAGCAUAACAUACGAGGGAACAAGGGUAAAAAAAUGCAUUGCAAUUCUUAGAUAGCCUUGCGUAUGGAAGGUUAGAACAUGAUUAUAACGUUUCCAUGUUUGAACUAAAAAAUUACAACGAGGCUUUAGCCACAUGGGUUGAAGAAAAUGAGUCACACCAUUAGGCCAUGUCCAAAUUCCCAAAAAAAAAGAGAGGAUAAAAUGACUAUCAACCUUGCCGAGUCAUUUAAUGCUUGGUUACAGAAUGAAAGACAUCACUCCAUUUGUAACUUUUUAUUGGAGCACAUGUCCAAGUUAGCUUUUAUGCUUGUGAAGCAUAAAGAAGAGUCGAAGAAUUGGAAAUGGUGUAUAGGCCCAAAAAUUGAAGAUAAGGUGCUGCAAAAUAUUGCAAAGAGAGAGGUGUAUCCAGUCAUUCUGUUCAUGAAUGGAGUAUUUGGGGUAUGUAUCGGGAGAGCCUUGUUGAAUGUAGACAUUAUGAACCUUACAUGCACUUGUAAGGGUUGGCAAAUGUUGGGAAUCCCUUGUGAACAUGUCGCAGCCGUCAUUAUUUCCAUUGGUCAAAACGUUGCUAAUUUCGUUGAUGAUUGGUACAAAUACCCAAUGUAAGAGUUGAUAUAUGGGGGCUCUUUCUUCAGCAUAGAGACCCAUGACAUGCCUAGUGUGGAUGAUGAUGGUUUGGUUCGAUCUAUCACUGGUGAGGUUUUCUUCUCUCUAAAGCCUCCAUAUACAAAACGCAUUCCCGGAAGGCCAAGGAAGAAGCGCAUUGAGUCCCAAUUUCACGAUAAACAGACUGUGUAUUGCUCUCGUUGUCAUAUGUCCAGCCACAACAGAAAAACUUGUAGGAAUCCUUUGCCCUAAAUGCAUAUUUGUCAACUUAUUGCAUUAUGCAGAUCUUGUAUUACUCUAUUUCAACUAACUUAAGUGAACUGGUUGUCACCAAAUCAGCGUUAGUAUUUGAAUAUUUUGUACCUUUGCCUUCACUUGCUAUGUUCAUUGAGUUAAAUUAUAUUGCUCUGCUUAUUAAUUUCUUUUAGAAUGUCUGAACUAUGGUUGCACCACAUAUUGUUGUAUUGGUAUUUACUCCAAUCGCAUGUAUUUGCUCCCAUUACCUUGGUUAAACUAGUAAAACCAAACUGCAGUAUAUGUAUCCAUGUACAAAGACUACUGUUUCACUGUACUAUAUAGAAUGUCAACCCAACAACCUGAAAUGUAUACCAUUGAAUCCAUGUAUUUUGUUAUUAUUUGUUUUUCCACCAUUUCCCCUUUCUCUCGCCGCCACAACUUAUCUUGUCUAACUACAUACAUGGUGGUUAUUAUCCCACUUUUUAAUGUUCUAUAGGAAUUCCUGCAGCAUAGAGAUGCUGCUUAGGCCACCACUGAAUGUAAAGUUCUUUUUGUUGUUGAGAAAAACAAUUUUGAUUUACAUUGCAUUAUUAAAUUUAUGUUUUGGAAAAAUAUAAUUUUUGUUUUCUUAUGUAGAUAAGUAACUUUCAGUUGGUAAGAGUGUUCACUCUUAAAAUCUCAGCGUUGGUUCCCAAGAUUACUAGCACUGGUGUUUAGUAACUAGUCGAAAUUCUAAGAAGGGCACUAACGUUAUGAUAUUCCUUCUUCACUUGUUGAAUUAUUCUUAUGCUGAAUUAAAUUCACAAUUAAUAGGUCAUAUGAAUGCAUAAAGUGUUGAUGGAGGUUGUAAAAUAUGUUCAUUUCCACAACUUUGGCAGAUUGUGGCGAUUGUCUCUCGCAUGAUGAAUGGACAGCAAGCACCACCAGCGCGCACACACUAUUUUGAUCAUUCGUUCUCGGUGAACCCCUUAAUAUCCUAAAUUGACAUAGUCUCAAAAUAGAAUAGUAUUUGUUGAUGUUUGUAUUGAUUAACCCCACCCUUGAACAGGUUGUUUUGAGCAACCUGAAAUCUAAUGCAACCAGCCAGGUCAUCAUGGACAGAUGCCGCAUGUAUCUGGAUGCUGGUGUAUGGGGCCAUGAUUUGGGGACAUGUGACAUGGUAAAUAAGGGUUGUUAAAGUUCAUUUCCUUAGUAAUAUAUGCAAUGGCAUUGGACAUGACUAUUAUCUUAUAACAUAAAAGCUAAUAACUCUUUAAUGAUAAUGCAGAUGUUCAUACCGGUUUGUGAGACUAAGCAUGUGCAUGUUGUUAAUUUUGCAGUUGGAAGAGUUGAAAUUCUUUCCUCUUUGCCCCUCAGGCGGGGGAACAACAUUAGUUCUGCAACAAGACGAUUAUCAGUGGCAAUCCACAAAGCACUGCAUGCAUUUAGAGUUCAUAUAGACGUGGAUGUCUCAACUUUUAUGCAUGUCCAACCACACCUUGUCCAACAGCUUAAUGGGUAAAAUAUUCAUAUAUUCUAACCAAAAUGGACAUGUGUAGUGAAUUUUUUUCUCAGAUUUCUAUCAUUUACAUGACAAGCCUAAAUGUGAUGUGUUAUAGGUUCAACUGUGGUAUCCUCACACUAAAGUUCAUGGAAUUUUGGAAUGGGGCGACUUUAACUACUUCAGUGGCAGAGGUUAGAGCUGGUUUACACCAUAAUUAGAACUGUUAUUUUUAUUUAUUUAUUAUUUUUUUUACAACAUCAUGAAAUAAGUUUUUCCCAUUUCUGUAGGGCAAGCUGAACAUGUAUAGACUCCAGCUAGUUGUGGAACUAGUGCUCAAUGAAGGCAAUAGUUUUAGAGAUAAAAUUAUGGCCUCCUAUCAUUUGUGACUUCAUGGUUGAUGAUAAGUUUUUUCCUAUCUGAUGCUACUUAUCGUAUAAAGCAAUGAUUGAUUGUAGUUUGUCCACAAAUGACUGAAUUCAUAUCCUGUUAUGUGCUGAUGUGGUUUUGUUCCCAUUCUAAAACCAUUAUUUAUGUUCCAUAUAUGUUGUAUCUUAUUAAGUAUACUACAUCCCAUUGUAACAGUGGCAUUUUGGUGAUGCUGAAUGUCAGAACUUUAUGUACAACAGUGGGCAACGCGUAAGGGACAGAAAGAUUGCAUGGUGAUGCUGUUGCUAAGCCUACGGGAGGGAGUAAUAUCAGACUGAGUCAUAUGUGAUCCUCUUUCUUUAGAUUGUUUGAAGCAAACAUGGUUUACCAUAUGAUCAAAAUUAGGACACGGAUAAAUCAAUUAUUCAAUCCUCUUCAAAUGAGGAGAUUCAUCACUAUAAUAGGGUUGUUCAUUAAUGUGAAAUAUUGUAUAGGAAAUGGAGUAGGAACAUGGAGAAAAGUCAAUAUUUGUUAAUUUAUGAUGAUUAUUGGCACUAGUCCGUGGUGCAUUGGUGACUUUAUGGACAACAUCUGCGUUUGUAAGAUGUGAUCCAAAGUGAGGUUUAUUCUAGGGCAUCUUCUGUCAAUGUUAUACAUAGGCUGGAGGUUUGGUUGAGUUUGUUGACUAUAUUAGAAACAAUUUGCUGAUGUACAAAUUCCAUGGACUAUGUUUGUGUUUUGUUUUAUUCAGGAAAUCCUAAUGAAGGUCAGGCAUUUGUUACAUAUCCUGUCCAUUUUUUCCUUGUUCCAUGCCAGUGUCCUCUCCAACUGUAGUUCAAAAAUAAGGAUUCUUUAUAGAAGCAGAAUGCUACAAACCAUGGUGACAAAUUCAGGUCUUAUGGGUGAUGGUGAAGACAUGGGAUGGUAUUCGUAAGGAUUAAUUGAAGACUAUUGGCAGUGGUGAUUUUUUUAGAUUGUCAUGUGCUGAGAUGGACUUCAGCAUGUCGAUGAAAUUCCUCCUCCAUAUAUCACAAGUUUUUUUUUUCUUUUAGUUAAUAAAAAUCUGAUGAAAUCAUCUCAUGAAAAAUAAAGAGAAAUCUUAAGGUUUGGCAUCAGAGAAUGGGUGCAACAUGGGUUGUGUGGUGACAUAUUAAUGUGGCAACCUUGCCCGAAUAUGAUGAGAAUGCACAACCCACAAAAUGUCAACUAUCCAUUUUGCUCAUCAUUUUGUGAGGCUUUUAUAAAAUUGCCCUUGAAUAUCAAUAAUGUUAUUACAAAUAAUUAUAUUAAUAAUAAUUAAAAUACUAAUAUUAAUAAUAAUAAUAAUAUUAAUAAUAGUAAAAAUAAUAAUAAGCCAUGUGAUAUAUUUGAAUUGCUUGUUAUGAUUUGUAUUUCUUUUAAGAAGCAGUCAUGAGGUAACCUUCCAACAAAGACAAUCCGAAGUCCUAUUAGUUGUGAACUCGGGACAAUAAUAAUAGAGAAUGUUGUAAAUCACUGAACAUAACUACUAAAAUAGUGCCAAAUUUGAACCAUCCAUAAAUUUGUUGUCUUCAUGCUCACUAUUUCUUCUAAUGCCAAACACGGUAGACAUGAAUGUGCAACCAAAAUGAUUGGAUUCAGCCCUUGACAAAUCAUGGAUUAAGCCAAAAUGCCACUAUGUCCGUUCUCUCCCUAUUCAUCUCUGGCGCCGUUGAAAUCCUCAUCAUGUUCUUAAUAUUUGGCUCAACUCCUAGUCAUGAAGCAAAUUUCUCCCGAUCCUCCAGUCCCCAAGUUAACAUCAUUAGGGAAAUGAGAAUCUUGAUGUUGAUCUUGUAGGGCUGUCACUCGCUCUCCCAAAGGAAGAGCAUCCUCAGUUGCAAGGGUUAUACAGGGUUCGAAAAUGCUUCUACAUGUUGCUCAUGUUUUACUUCCAACAAUCUAUAGGUUGUGAUAGAAAAAUAAAUAUAUGUUAGAAAACCAAUAAAUUUUUGCUUCACAUGAUCACCUUCCAUAUCCAACCACAACCAACCAUAACCUUUCAAUAUCUAGAUAAACACCAAAAUGAGAAAACAACUAUUUACUUAAAUAAAUAGUCACAACAAAAUAUUGACAGAAGAGCAACAUUUCUCCAAGGUGCCUUAAGGUAGUACCUGAGGUACAUUAAGGUAGUACCUCAGGUUCAUUAAGGUAGUACCUUAGGUGCAAUAAGGCAGUACCUUAAAUUUAUGAUGAUUAUAUAAGCUACCGAAUGAGUAACCAAUAAGAACAUAACAAUGCCAUGCUGCAAUAUGUAAUGCAAUGAACUAAUUAUGACUUAAGUCACAAAAGAGCAACAUUUCUCCAAUGUGCCUUAAGGUAGUCCCUUAGGUACAUUAAGGUAGUACCUCAGGUUCAUUAAGGUAGUACCUGAGGUGCAUUAAGGCAGUACCUUAAAUUUUUGAUGAUUACAUAAGCUACCGAAUGAGUAACCCAUAAGAACAUAACAAUGCCAUGCUGCAAUAUGUAAUGCAAUGAACUAAUUAUGACUUAAGUCACAAAAGAGCAACAUUUCUCCAAUGUGCCUUAAAGUAGUCCCUUAGGUACAUUAAGGUAGUACCUCAUGUUCAUUAAGGUAGUAUCUGAGGUGCAUUAAGGUAGUACCUUAAAUUUAUGAUGAUUACAUAAGCUACCGAUGGAGUAGCCGAUAAGAACAGAACAAUGCCAUGCUGCACUCUAUAAUGCAAUGAACUAAUUAUGGCUUAAGUCACAAAAGAGCAACAUUUCUCGAAUGUGCAAUAAGGUAGUACCUGAGGUACCUUAAGGUAGUACCUUAGAUUCAUUAAUGUAGUACCUGAGGUGCAUUAAGGUAAUACCUUAAAUUUAUGAUGAUUACAUAAGCUAUUGAUGGAGUAACCGAUAAGAACAGAACGAUGUCAUGCUACACUCUAUAAUGCAAUGAACUAAUUAUGGCUUAAGUCACAGAAGAGCAACAUUUCUCCAAGGUUCCUUAAGGUAGUACUUGAGGUACAUUAAGGUAGUACCUCAAGUUCAUUAAGGUAGUACCUUAGGUGCAUUAAGGUAGUACCUUAAAUUUUUGAUGAUUACAUAAGCUACCGAAUGAGUAACCAAUAAGAACAUAUAAUGCCAUGCUGCAAUAUGUAAUGCAAUGAACUAAUUGUGGCUUAAGUCACAGAAGAGCAACAUUUCUCCAAGGUGCCUUAAGGUAGUACCUGAGGUAUUGUGGACCCUCACUCGAUCCACUCGGAUGGCGCGACUCGCUAUCUCUUUUUUUAAAAAGUAGUGUGGAAUGGAAUGGAAAAGUGGUUUUCGAGUUUUGAAAAAUCCUUUCCCGAUGAGGAACGGUUUUGUUUGGAGUCGCCACUUACUUCUUAUUUUUAUUUUUUAUAAGGGGAAAAAUUAAGUAAGAACAAAAACCCCUGAUGACUUGAGUAUGGAAAAAGCGGACUACGAAACUUGAGUCUGGGUUCGAGGAUCAGGUUACCUAUCGGGAAGGUACCUCAUGUGAGGUAACACCCCUCUAGGCCCGGAACUCGGUCUCUACUAUUGAAUUGGGCAUGUGAGAGUAUAUGGGUCAAGGAUCAAAUAGCCUCUUAGGCUAAUCAUAGACAACACGAAUCACACAAACCUACUCGAUAUCUAGCAUGCAUAGGCACUCAAUAAAUCAACAAAUGGCGUACCUGAGGACCCUAGCCAUGCGCUGUAGAAAAGAUCAGUCAAUAAGCAUCAAUGCACAACAAGCAUCGCAAUCCAAAUGCCAUGUGGGCAUACUAACAUAAAAGCUAACUAUCAAACACAUACCUGUGGUCCCUAGCCAAGCGUUGCAUAAAUGAUUAGCCAAUAGGAAUAAAUACUCAACAAGCAUUCAUGGCAAUCACAUGUCAAAACAUCAAUCACUAGAUACCAAGGCCCAAAAAUGAGCUCAAACCAUGGGUCAAAGUAAGUACGUUGGGUCCCUAGCCAAGCGCUGUAAUGAGGGGUUAGUCAACACGUGGCAAGCAUUUUUUAAACAAACAUCAAAAUGUGCCCAAGCCAAAUAUUCACAAUAAACCCCCCCUCCCCCCCUUCCUAGCCAAUAAUACCCUUAACUCAUAGGUGGACCCACAUUAAUUCAAACCAAAUCUGGAUUUAGACCCUAAAGGUGGCCUACAAGUGCCUUGGAGCCUAAGUGCCCAAACCAUAACAAAAAUGGGGGUCAAAACACGCUGAAACUGGAACUACCUAGUAGAAUCGGUUGAACUGGUUCCCAACUGGCUCAAUUGGUUGAGAAAAAAAAUCUGAAACUUUACCAGAAUAUUCCUCAGAGAAUAAGGAAUCCAACAAAAUAAACGACACUCAAUUCCAAGCCCGGAUGAGGGAGAACCGACCAAAACAAUGCAAAGCAUUUAUAAAACAGGGCUGCCACCAAGCCACCUGUUGAACCGAUUCCCAACUGGUUCAUCCGAUUGAGAAAAAAUUUGAAACUUUACCAAAAUAUUCCUUAGAGAAUAAGGAAUCCAACAAAACAAAUAGCACUCAAUUCUGAGCCCGGAUGAGAGAGAACCGGUUGAAACAAUGCGAUGUUUUCCAUAAAAGGCCAAACCCGAGCCACCCAAAAUGCAUUGUUUUCUUUAAAAUUCGCCACUUAAGCCAAUGCUUUAGUAGAUGCAAUUUUUCCAUAAGCUUUUAGCAUGCAUGCCUAAAAGGGCAAGGCCACAAAUGAAAGGGCCUACUUCCCAAACAAAUUAACCGUAUUUCUUACAAUCAAAGGAAAUGAACCAUGUCCCCUCCCUUGCCAAAUCUAGGACCAAUGAGGCCCCAGUGGCUGAAUGAUGAGCACAGUGGCUUAACCAAUAUGCCAUAACCUCUAAUCCUAAUUGAAAAACUGAAAUGGUCUACCCCAAAUUCCAAACAAAACAGUCUAAAGAGACUUUUUAUCAAAUCAAAACUAAAGGGAAUGGUUCCCUAAACUAAAGGUACAAGCCCCUUUUUGGUAUUUUGGAACCUAGCAUGAAAGCCCAAUGGCAACCCCAAAAAAAAAAAAAAUUUGAUUGCACUUCCAAACCUGAAACCAAUAACGCAGCAAGGACCUUCCUUGAAUGCCACAAGCAUAAUGCAAAUUUCCACCCUCACUAUGCAACCAAACAAUGGAGUUCUUACCCCAAACAUACAUGCAACCAAGAUCCUAAAGAAUACCAUUUAAUGAGCACAAAAGCCUUGCCUUCAUAAGCAAUCAGAUAUGACCAAAGCUUUAAACAGUUGCCUUAUAAGCCAUUAGGACUAUUAAUUCACUUUCCACAUUCAAGCUUAAAACAAACGAAUGCAUCAAAUAGUUAACCAAUGCCCUCUUUUUAUUUGCAAACUACUAAGGUCAAGGCCUUAGGGGCCAAUAAAAAAAACUAAACUUGGACAACCUUUGAAACCUAAUCAAAGAUCAGUUAGCCAAGAAAACCACACACAAGUAACAUUAGAAGAAAAUAAUAGCAGAAAAAAAGAAAUAAAAAAAAAAUAAAAGAAAAAACAGAGGAUCUCUAGUAGCAACCAAAUCACACAAGAGACCAGUUUAAUUCUAAAACCCAGAACCUUACCCACAAAUGGGCACCAAAACCCCAAAGGUCCUCUAGAUGCAAUGACAAGGGGAACCACAAAGGCCUUAUGAAGGAAGCAAAACAAACCUAAAUUGGGGGCUAAGGAACCCUCAUUCCAAACUUGAAUCCGAGCACCAGAGACCUUUGCUUACUCAAAGCAAAUCAAAGCUGGUUGCUAAUGAGAGAAAUACUUGCUUUGUUCACAAAACAAAUCACACCAUACAUGGGAGCUUAGGCAUGCAAUAACGAAAAUGCAAGGAUCCUAGCCUUAUCUUUCAUAUACCUUCAAUGACCAUUUCGAAUGCUAAAAAAAUAACAGACUCACUCUCGGUUGAAUCAGACAUGCAUAGUCUUAGACAACUUACAAACUUGACCAAAGACUAAUCAGCAAAGACCCUCAUUUUCUUGUCUAAACAGAUUAUUGCAACAAACCUCAGAAAGAAUGAAAAUAUAAAAUAGCAGAAAGCAGGAUCAAAGAGUUACCUAUGCAUGCGUUGAAGAUGCUGAGGUAGAAAUGAAGUCACUGGGGUAGCAAACGUCCAAGUUCCGCUUCCAGAAAUCAAGGCCUUCCCCUUCAACAACAUGAACAAGAAACUACUCCCUCUACAACCAGAAAAUCUCUCAAAACCUCCGUCUCCUUCACUCUUUCCUCUGUUUCUUUUUUCUAUUUUUUUUUCCUCUCUUCUUUCUUUUCCUUUAUCUCCCAACACACAAAAUUUUCUCAGGUCUAGAACUCUUCCCCCACACUCUUUUUUUUUUUUUUAAGCUCUCACCCUCUUCUCCUUUGGCUUUCACUUUUUUGACAAAGUUUCCUCCUAGAAUCCAGAGAGAGGUCCUCAUCUUCUUCCCUCUUUUGGAUUUUAUAUUAGACCCCUUUGUUCCUCCAGCUUCCAUUCAUUUUCCCAUGCAUUCAGCUCUGGAAAACAACCCUUCAACCUCGAAACCACACUCCCCAAUAACUCUCCUCACCAAUUCUCCAUGCAAGCUGACUCUUUUAAGUUUUUAGCUUGCUUCACCACCAAGGAUCCAUAUGGAUUCAUGGUGGGCUGCAAGAAACCCAAACCAAGGCCCAAAAUGGACCCACAAUAUAGCCCAAGACCGAUUUGGAGCUUAUGGGCCCAAGUCAUGUAGGAAUUGGGCUUCAAAAUCAUCAAAACUAGUGCUCCAUACAAGCUAGCUCGAUGAACCGGUUAAACUGGACGCCAACCGGUCGAACCGGUUGAGAAAAAUUAUGAAAUUUUGAAAAAAAAUUUCUGAAGAAUAAGGAGUCCAUGAAAAAAAAUGGUGCAUGAUUCUGAGGUUGGAUGAGGGAGAUAUGGCCAAAACAAGCCCGAGUGCUCCGAAUUCGAACUUGCUCCCAUGCAUUCUGCCAAAACUGAAACUUUGGGGACUGGUCGAGUCGGUUGAGAAAAAUUAUGAAAUUUUGAUAGAAUUUUUCCUAAAGAAUAAGGAGUCCAUGAAAAAAAACGGUACACAAUUCUGAGGUCGAAUGAGAGAGAUAUGGCCAAAACAAGCCUAAGUGCUCUGAAUUCAAACUUGCUCCCAUGAAUUCUGCCAAAACUGAAACUUUGGGGACCGGUCGAUCCGGUUGAGAAAAAUUAUGAAAUUUUGAUAUAAUUUUUCUUGAAGAAUAAGGAGUCCAUGAAAAAAAACGGUGCACAAUUUUGAGUUCGGAUGAGGGAGAUAUGGCUAAAACAGGCCUAAGUGCUCCGAAUUUAGACUUGCUCCCAUGCAUUCUGCCUAAACUGAAACUUUGGGGACCGGUCUAGCUCGAUGAACCGGUUAAACCGGACGCCAACCGGUCGAACCGGUUGAGAAAAAUUAUGAAAUUUUGAAAAAAAAUUUCUGAAGAAUAAGGAGUCCAUGAAAAAAAAUGGUGCAUGAUUCUGAGGUUGGAUGAGGGAGAUAUGGCCAAAACAAGCCCGAGUGCUCCGAAUUCGAACUUGCUCCCAUGCAUUCUGCCAAAACUGAAACUUUGGGGACUGGUAGAAUUUUUCCUAAAGAAUAAGGAGUCCAUGAAAAAAAACGGUACACAAUUCUGAUGUCGAAUGAGAGAGAUAUGGCCAAAACAAGCCUAAGUGCUCUGAAUUCAAACUUGCUCCCAUGAAUUCUGCCAAAUUAAGAUAAGUGUUCAUUAAAUCUAAAAUUCACAAAUAUUUUUCUUCAAAAGAUUGAUAUUUCUUUAAAAAAAAAAAAAAAAAAAUCUGUUAAUAAAAAAAAGGUAUUAUUUUCCAAAUUGAAAAUGAGAUUCUAGAUUUAAAUAAAUGAUAUUGGAUAAAAAUGGAAUGAACGUUUUUUUCUCUUUAGAAAUAGUUGCUGAAUAUAAUAAAACCUAAAAAAGAGUUGGGAUAUAAGGAACCGCCAUAUCUUCAACUGAAUUAGUCCGUUAAUCUUUUGGGCCCAGCCCAGGAAACAACUAUAUGCCAACCGAAAAAUCUCAACCAACGGCUAGUUUUGUAAUUUCAAAUAGGAUCUUUCCCAAAAAAGAAGUAAGAUUUCUUAUGGAAUAGGUGAUAAAGAAACAAUAAUGACAUCCAUCCACAUCAAUUAAAGACAAUGAUCAUUUUUUUUUUCUUUUUUAACCUGACCAUCCAAUGGAUAUAAAAAUACAAAAAUGAAUUUUCUAAUAGAAUAAGCAUUUAACAAAAAAUAAAAAAUAAAAAAAUUACAUGAAUGAACAAGUGACUUAAGAGUCUGAUUGUCUCGAAUACUUGGAGAGUUUUACAUGAAGGGUUGGAUCUUUCUUCUUCUUCUUCUUGAAAUGUUUUGAGGCCGCUUUCAGCACCUUGCUCCAUCCCUGUUACAUUAAUUUCACUAUAAUUUAAUAAAAUCCAAAAAAGGAAAAAAAAAAUUGUUGAUGACAUUAUAGAUUCCCCUUUAGAGGUGGCUUCUUUUCCCCAAAUUUUCCCAUAAAUUCCAAGCUUUUUCCAUGUGAGACAAAGAAUGAGGAAAGGGCCCUCUUUCAACAUUUUCUUUCCCCCUUUUCUCCUUAUCCAAACAGAUCCAACACGGAGGCCAAUUUUCCCUAUUGGUUUCCCAGUUUCCUCAAAUGGGUAUAUCCAUUUGAGCUUCAACAACCCAAAAAUGGCUGGAAAAUUUUUCAAAAAAAUAAAAACAAAAAUGGAAAAUAAAAGAGUGGUUACCUUUGUGGAAGGAGGAGUGGGAGAGAAGUGAUCAGGGGGCUUGAUGAAACUCCUCCUCCUCUUCUUCUGCUUCUUCUUAAACAUAGUGAAGAUGUUGUUCUUAAGAUUAGCGGUGACCUUCUUGAGAGUGGUUUUAUCCAAACCCAACCUGUAAGACAACUUCGGAGGUGGCGUUCCCAAAUCCCAGUCCAAAGCAAGAGAUUUUUGAGGGCGAGGCACCAAUGGAGACCAGAUUGAGCUCUGUGAGUAGUCAAAAUCAAAGGCAGAGGUGUCUGGGAAUUUGCCGAGAAGCUCUUCGCACAUGGAUGAUUCCACAUACUCCACCACUUUUAUCAGCCUCCCUUCUUCUUCUUCCUCUUCUUCUUCUGGUACUGCUACUGCUACUGCUACUGCUAAUGCUGAAGACAUUGAGGAAUUGUUUUCUGUGAAUAAAGAAGCUCAAUCACUUUGCCGUUUUUUUCUUUUCAGUUGCUUCGAUUUCUGUAAGGAAAAGUGGAGAAGAUGAUUGUAUAGGAUGAAUGUGGGAAAAAGUUACCGUUGCAAAAGUCUAUUGCUUCCAAAAGGCCUUGUCUUUUCCUCUUCCCGUUUUGCCCUUCACUUGUUUUCGUUACUCUGUCUUGGUGGUCAGAUAGGGCCCAAGGGCUUCAAAGGUAAUUUCAAGGUAACGGUCCGGUUCUGUCCUACUCUUAACGUGACAUCCGUUGCCGUGGAUGUUGAAAUUUAUUAUUGUUUUUCCAAUUACAAUUGUUCAAUUUAAUGAUCGUUUGAUUAGAAUUUUAGAAGAAAGAUAACAAUUUUUAGGGUACCCAACAAAGAACAAAAUUCAUGGAUACUUUUGUAGUACCAAACGAUAAUUUAUAGGUACCGUAUCCAAAAAUCACCACCACUCAGAUUCUAGCUUUUUCUUUAUAUACAUAUUCGAUAAUUAAGAUAAGAAAUUAGAUGGGUUGAUACUUAGGGCCUUAACAUUCCCAACUUUUAUACUUUGUUUUAGUUAGAAAAAAUAUUGUUAAGAAAAAUAAUGUUUUUAUAUAUGAUAUAUUAUGAAAUUUGUAUAAAAUGAAAAAUAAAUCAAAUAAGUUUGAAAAAAUAUGUAUAAAAAUAAUUUAUUAAUUUGUUUGAUUCCAACAAAAGAGAUAAAUUAUUAAGAAAAAUAAUUUUCUUAUUUCAAAGAAAUAAAAAAAAAUAGUUUAUUAAAUUUAUAUUAUUUAAUCUUUAUAUAAAAGAAAAUGAGUUUAAAGAAGUACAUAAGAAUAAUUUACCAACUUUAAAUCUUUUUUUUUUCCUUUCAUUUUCUUUUCUUUUCCAUUUCUAUUUUGUUUCUUUAGCAUUUUUCCACAAAUGUUCCAACAACUAAGUAUAAUUUUUUUUUAAAAAAAAGAAAUUGUUAUAUUUCUAUUUUUCUUUAAAAAAAAAUGUUUUCUCAUAAUUUUUUCUCUAAUUUUCAAAAUCCAUGUAUUGGGUUAAUUCUUCUUUCCAAACAUAAAUGUGAGAUUAUUUAAUAUCUUGUACUUAAGUUAAAAAAUAUGUACUUAACUUUAAUUAAGAAUUAUGUAAGAAAAUAAUUAUGCUUCAAAUAUUUUCGCAUUUUGAUUUGUUACAUGGCAUGUAAACCAUUUAAAAAUAAAACAAAAGAUAGAAAGAUUCAAUCAUCUCCCAAAAAAGAUGAGUCAAAGCAAAUGGUUAAUUAGUUUUAGGCUUUCAACUAACUCUAGUUACAUCCAUGUCUAUGUAUAAAACUCAAGAAGACUAGAAGUUAACUGAGUUGUUGUUACUAAUACAAAGAAAGCUCUUUGUAAUUAUUUUUCUUAGUUCAUCAAUCAAACAUGGUAUUAGAGCCAGAACGACUUACGUCUAUGGCUUAAGUUGCUGCAAUGAAUACCAAUCUCUCUUCAUCAAGCAUCUCCUGCACAAGUGGAACAACAUUGAUGGUGGUCCCCUCACUGAUGUUCUCAUCUACCAUUCCUCAACUAUCUUUGAAACUCACAAGAACAACUAUGGAUUCUAGCGUUCACAAAUUCUUCCAACUGUUCGAGCUCUUGAUCUUUAAAGAUAUUUGCUUGGAACAACGGUGUGUCUCUUUUGUUUCAUUUCAAAUGGAGAUGAUAAUUCUUCAAUAAUCAACUCAGAAUUUUUAAUCUGGAACAAAACAGACUAGUUCAUCAUGAGUUGGAUUUUUUAUUCUCUUUUAGAGUCGAUGUUUGGCCAUAUUGUUUGAUGAAAAAUUGUUACUGAAGAGUGGAGUACUUUCAAUUGAUUGUUUUUCAUCAACUCCAAGUUUCAGGUGCAACAUCUUCAAAAAUAAAUUGUAAGAAGUUUCAAAAGGCUCCCUGAGUAUUAUUGAUUAUUUUUUGCAAAUGAAAGAAAUUGCAGAUACUUUAUAAUUGUAUCUAAUAAAUUCAUCGAUGAUGAAUUGUUGAUGCACAUUUUUGGUGGUUUAAAUCAUGAAUUUGAUGUUAUAAUUGUCAAUCUUUAGUCAAGGAAAGAUUAUGUUUCUCUUGAAGAAGCUUAAUUCCUCCUUCAAAAACUUAACUCUGUUUCAAAUAUCCAUAUUGGUCCCUCUGCAAGUUUUGCUGCCAAACAAGGCCACAAAAUAAACAAUUAUCAAUUCUCUAAGGCUCCUAACAAUAGUUCUUUUCAUGGUGGUUGUGGUGGUCCAAGAAGAGAAAGCCAAAAUAAGCCUAUCUGUCAGUUAUGUGACAAAGUUGGUCAUAUUGCACUGAAAUGUUAUCAUCAUUUCAACAUUAGCUUCAAAAGACCACAACAAUAACCACAAUAUGAAAAUUAUGCUUCGCCACAAGGCACUCAUUUAAAGACAAUGCUCGAGCUUACUUUGCCAUGUUAGCCAUUGUUAAUGACCAUAAUUGGUACAUGGAUAUAGGAGCCACAAAUCACAUUACUGGUGAUCUCAAUAAAUUGACUCUCAAGAUAGGCUACAAAAAUAAGGAAAAACUUGUUGGAAAUGGUAAUUCUCUAAAGAUUUGUCAUAUUGGUUCUUCAACUAUAUCAUCUAAUUUUUCAUCACAACCAUUAUAUCUUCAUGAUAUCUUAAUGUGCCUACAAUUAUAAAAAAAUUAUUAAGCAUAUCUAAAUUCACCAAGGACAACAUUGUUGUUGAAUUUUAUGAUGAUUGUUGUCUUGUUAAGGACAAGAACACGAGGAAGAUUUUGAUGCAGGGCAACCUUAAAAGAGGGCUUUAUCAACUUGAUGUUCUAGUGCUCUUAGGAAGUUUAAAAUUUGUCUCAAAUUUUGGUUCUAGUUUUCCUUCAAUUUCUCUAGCACAAGUCAAAUCUAAUGAGGCUUGUAUUCAAAUUGUGAACACUUAGCAUAGCAUGCUUAGUCAUCCUCAUGCUCAAGUGUUAGCACGGGGAUGCUCAAGUGUCUUUAAGAACUGAGUACCUUUAAUUCUAUGAUGUCUGUCAAUAUGGAAAAGCUUGUCAGUAUAGGGACCUUCACCUAUUUUUUCUAUAGAAGGCUAUCAAUAUUACAUUCACUUUCUGGAUGAUUUUACUCACUAUGCAUGGAUAUUUCCAUUAAUGAAGUUAAAAUAUAAAACCAAAGGUAUUUUUCUACAAUUUCAAAUCUUGGUAGAAAGACAAUUCAAUAGAAAAUUAAAAUGUCUUCAAACUGAUUAAGAAGGUGAAUAUAGGCCUUUUUUUGCCUAUUCUAGCUCAACAAGGUGUAGUUUUCAAACAUCCAUGUCCUCAUACUCAUUAGAAAAAUGGAAGAGCAAAAUUAAAACAUAGACAUAUAGUUUAGCCUGGAUGAACACUCUUGGCACAAGCACACAUGCGUCUAUAUUUUUGGUAGGAUGUUUUUGUGAUUGUAGUGUUUUUUAUCAAUAGAUUACCUACCCAAGUUCUUAAUUAUACUUCUCAUUUUCAAUCUCUUUAUCACAGAAAACCAAAUUAUAAGGUUCUAAGGGUUUUUGGUUGUGUUUGCUUUCCUUAUCUAAGGCCCUAUAAUAAACACAAGUUUGCCUUUCAUACAACCAAGUGUGUCUUCCUUGGUUAUAACUUGGUGCAUAAAGGGUUUUGUUGUCUGAGUUCUCCAGGUUAGAUUUACACAACCAUGAGUGUCUUAUUUGAUGAAGAGCGUUUCCCUUUUGCUAUUGGUUUUCAAGUUAAAAGGUCUAGUGCUUCUAAUUUUGUUUUUGUUGCCACUAAUGAAACCAAUAUCUUUGGUAUGUGGCAUGUUCCCUCACCAAAUGAUUUUUUAACUUCUACUACAUCUAUUUUACCUUAAACAAUAGUUUCAUCAUCAUCUUUGGCUAGCGCACUUGUUGAAAAUAGAGCAUUACAACUUGUUGAAACUAAUACUGUUGAGGAUCCCAAUAUAUUACAAUAUGAGAAUCAAGUUAAUAAUGAGAAUCAAACUAUUAAGUCUAAUUCUUCAUCUAUUUAGAAUACUCAUCCCAUGCAAACUAGAUCCAAGUCUAGAAUUUUCAAACCAAAGGUCUUCUUUGCCAAACAGAAAAUAAAUACUUUAGUUACUGGACCUUUAAGUGUGGAAUAAGCUCUAUUGGAUCCAAAUUGGAAAAAGACAAUGGAUGAUGAGUAUAAUGCCCUUUUAUCAAAUAAUGCAUGGAGCUUAAUACCUUAUACAAAUGACAUAAAACUUGUGGACAAAAAAUGGAUUUUUUAAGUAAAAUAUAAUCCUAAUGGUUCUAUACAAAGAUAUAAGGCCCAACUUAUUGCUAAGAGUUUUCAACAAAUAGCAGGGCUUGAUUACUUUGAUACUUUUAGUCUUGUUAUCAAGUGAUCAACCAUUCUUGUAGUGCCUACUAUUGUUGUUACAAAAGGUUGGGAUAUUCAACAGAUUGAUAUUAGCAAUGCAUUUUUAAAUGGAGACCUAUAAGAAAUUGUAUACAUGUUUCAACCAAUUGGUUUUAUUGAUCAACAUGCUUCAUACCAUGUUUGCAAGCUACACAAGGGCUUAUAUGGUCUAAAACAAGUGCCAAGGGCUUAAUUUAACAAGCUUAAAACUGUUAUAUUGCAUUGGGGUUCUGAAAACUCAAAAUCUGAUACCAGUCUCUUCAUACUUAUCUGCAAGCAAAAUACCACUCUUGUUGGUCUAACCAAUGAUGAUAUUGAUUUGAUUUAGCAAGUAAUGAAGGAUUUACAUGAGAAGUUUGCAAUUAAGACUUUAAGUUUCAUGAAUUAUUUUCUUAGAUUUGAGACAUACAGAAAUCAAUCUGGUCUUUACUUAACCCAAACAAAAUAUACUUUGGAUAUUUUGGAGAAAGCUAAGAUGGCAAGAGUUAAUCCAAAUUCAACACCUUUUUUCAGUUGGGGUUAAUAAUUGCUUGGUUUUUCAUCGUUUAUUGGAUCAAAACAAAAUUUAUAACCUAAUUCACUAUUCUAGAGUAGCUUGUACCUGAUCAAAAAGUGGUUUUUGUACAAACUACUAUAGUAUAAUGGUUUUUAGGUGUCGUCCACUAGGAUGGAUUAUUCUCGGUAAUUAAGGCUUGAAUAAGAGGAUAAGAAAUGAUUGUGAUCAAGUGAAAUUGAUUUAAAAAUUCAUAGUGAAAAAUUAAUGUAACAAUGGUCUCAAAUUGAAAAGAAAAAUGAAAUGCAAAAUAGAAGAAAAUUAAUAGGAGAUGAAAUUCUUGGAGUUAGGAUUUUCUAGAAAAUAAUUUCCAUGGUGAAUAGAUGUUGAGAUUUAAUUUUCAUCAAGUUAGAUUGAAAACCUAAAUUUUCAUCUAAACCAAUUUUUGAUUUAGCUUUAGGUCUAGAUCUAAUUUCUCUUCAAAUUAGGUCAUUUAAUCCAAGAGAUCAAUUCAAUUCAUCUUAAAUUAUCUUCCAAUGAUUCACACAAUGCAACUAUUCAAUAUCAUCAAAUCCAGCUUUAAGAAUUUAAUGAAUCUAUCUAGUUUGCAUUGUAGAAGUCAUCCAAGACAAUUUGAAGAGAAAAAUCCUCAAAAUUCAAUUAAUCAAUCAAUUGGAUCAAAUCACAUUUGCAAUUCAAGCUCAUUUCUCUAAUUCACCAUAGAUCUUGCCUUUAGAUCCUCAUUCCUCUGAGAAAAAUGAGAUUUAGCCACUCAUGCUUGGAGAUUUGGUCUCACAAGACAUGUGUUGGCUAGUAAGAAAAUGAAAGAAAAUGAAGGAAAUUAAAGAAUUCUCUAGAGAGAUAAAAUCUGAAAAAUUCUACAAAUUAGAAAUAUCUAAAAAGCUCCUCAAAUGAGAAAAUCAAGUUUCUAUUUAUAGGCCAAGGUUAAGUGGACACUUGGCAUCAUCUAAGAGGUCUCCCGGAGGCUUCUUCACCAAGAAAUCUGGAGUUUAGUAAUAAAAUGGUCAUUUAACAAGAGAUUUAGCAAUGUCACACAAGAUCUAGCAAUUUCGCACGAGAUCUAGCAAUUUCGCAUGAGAGCCAACAAUUUCGCAUGAUUGUGUGAAGUCAAAAAUACAUCAGCACCAAUUUUCGCAUGGUCAUGCGAAAUCAACUUUGAGAUUUCCCUUUGAUUUGUAGCAAAAAAUACCUUUUGGUCCAUUUCAUAUGACUGUGCGAAAUUUUCGCAUGGUCAUGCGAAAUGGAAAUACAUAAUUUUUCAACUUUUUUUUGUCAUUUCUUCCAUUUCUUUCUUUUGAAUCCACUUCAAUCACCUCCAAAUCAAUUCCAAAUCCCAGUCCAAACUAAUUACAUUACUUUUGUCAUUAUGCAUUUGGAUCUUCAUCAACUUUAUUUAUUCUCUUCAAUUUGAUUGAUCUCUUUUGUCACCAAUUUAUCGAAAUCAUACCUUGAAAUGAGUCCAAAACUUCAUAAAACUUGUUAGUAACUCUUGCAAGGGCAAUAACAUGUUAAUUGAGUGUUUUAGGCAUAAUUAUUACUCAAAAGAUGUGAAACUCAUGAAAAUUAUUAUCUAAGAUAUGCUCUUUUGAGUAGUAAUCAUUCUCCCCAACCAACGCAUUGCUAGUCCCUUAGUAAUGGUAUGACAAAAAGGAAGAAAAACAAUACCAAACAAAAGAAAUCAUAAGUCACAUAAGCAAAUCAUUUGAAAAAAAAAAUCUUUAAAAUUUCCAUAGCAUAAAUGAUUGAUAAACAAGCACACCCUACUAUCCAUAGGUAUCAACAAAAUCCCAACUUAUUUACUAUCUCUAAUAGAAAGAAUAUCAUGCAAAUCAAGGUAUCAAAAACAUAUCCAUCUUCAUUCCCCAAACAAUUUUUCCAAACAAGUCUUGAGUGUAAUUAAGCUAGCCCUCGAAUAUAGUACUCAAAACUAAUCCUCCCCCCAACCAAUCUCAAUUUAUCUCAAACAACAAAAAUCACUCUCUCAUAGGUUAAGAACGCACUUAUAUUUAUUUUAUUAUUAUUAUUUUUUUCAAAGGACUUAUUGUAGGAGUGUUAUGCUAAAGGUAUCUCCAAGUAUAUGGUCCAUGUAGCGGGGAUUCAUUAAUGACUCCCAACCAUAAUGCAUAGGGCACCAAGUUUAUAAGACUAUUUAACUAGCCAUUAACUCCUCGGACUUCACCUCGGACUCCUCAAAUUAGGAUCCAAUACCUUAGCACCUACAAUUGAACUCAUACUCCACCUAUUCACCCAUGUAACGAGCAUUGAGGUCGGUGGCUCCCAACCAAAAUGGCUUAGGGCACUGGGCUUCAAAGACCUUUGGGUCAUAUACCCCUCGGACCUUGCUCAGGUUUCAAGGCAAGCAUAACUCAACCUUUUUAUUCAUCAACUUUUUUUUUUCAAAUUAGGCACAUUGGCUUCUUUUUAAGGUGUCUCAACUCAAUUAAAGAGUAAUCAAUGUUACAAGAUAAUUAAGUCCAAGUCUUAAGGUUAGACUAGUUUUUCAUCUUAUAUUUGGGGUCUAGAGUGCACAAUAUGUGUUAAAACUCAAAUCGAAAUGACCCUUUGGAAAAUAAAGACUUCAAAGUCAAAUCAACUUUAAUUUACAUAACAAAUUUUUUAAGAUCAAGCAAAUAAGCUAGUAUUCUAAAUCAACUUUUUCAAGUUAGGUUUGAAUCAUCUAAAAAAAAAAAUUCAUCAAAUAAGUCACAAAUGUGAUUUAUGAAAAAAAAAUCUAAAAAAACUAACAAAACUAACAACAUAUUUCCUUCUCUUACUUUCUAACCCUUCCCCCAACCAAACAUGUACAUUGUCCUCAAUGUGUAAUGAAAAUAUACAAAGAAAGGAAGGGAAGAUACCUCAAUCUCUCAUGAAUUUCAGCUUCAAUAGCUAAAACAAAAAUAAAAUCACACAUGAGAAUUGUUGGAUAUGAAUGGCAUAAGAGAAGAAAAUAUGAAAACAAAUUUAUUAAAAACCAAAAAACUAUGUUAGAGACACAAUGUGUGGAGUAAAAUCAAGGUAUAGAUGAUGAUCAUGUCCAAAGAAAACAUGAUUUCAAUGAUAAGUCAAUGAUUCACAUGGAGUUUUUUAAAAUUUCUCACAAGUGUCUAAACUAGACAAGAAGGUGAAAUAUGUUGCAAUUACUCUCUUCUUUUAAAAGAAUUUGGCACAAUCAUGUGAAAAUUUGCAUGUACAUACGAAUUGGUCAAGAGAGUUCUAUCUUAUUAUUGCCUUUAGCAGAAUUUUUGCAUGGUCAUGCGAAAGUUUACAUAAUUAUGCGAAUUAGUCCAGAGGCUUAAAACUGUUGCAAUCAUCCACAUCAGUUUCGCACAGUCAUGCGAAAAUUUUGCAUGAUCAUGCGAAAUGAGACAUAGACUCAUUUUUUUGGAUUUUCAAAGCUAUAAAAACUCCCCUGUUUAUUGCAUGAAUUCUCUUGUUUUUGCGUGAACAUGCAAAAUGGUGAUGAACCAUUAAAACUCUUUUUUCCUUUGCCUCAUGCAUUCUAUCCAUCCGAAAAGUCCUUCAAAAUACAAAUCAAAGAGUUGAGAUGGAUUUAUUUAAUGGAAACUAAAAGAAAAAUAAUAAAAAAUCAAAAUUCAAAGGAAAGUAGAGAAAUGAGAAACCAUUGGGCUAGCUAGCCAUUGACAUGACUAAGCCUAUUAACCUUUGCAUCAAUACUCAAUUUGGAUAUGACUUGCAAACAAUGAAUGGACCAACUCCUUGAUACUUAAGUUUUCUCAUAAAAACAUGUGGCUUGAAAUAGCCUUCUUUGAACUUGUUCUUUUGAAUAAGUUGGCCAUACCAUUCCUUGAGCUUUUUUUUUUUCAUGGUCUUUAAAUUAUUGUGCACACCAUGCUUCAUGGUUUUCACUUUCUUCAAGCUGAAAGACCAUUUCAUUAACUUCAAAAGUUCAAUUUCUUCAUUGAUCCUCCAAAUUUCAAUCUGUUCAUUAGAAAUUACUUCACCAAGUUUUGAAAAAUUAUCUUCAACAUUUUCUUUCACUAGAUUUUCCAUAGGUAAUUCAAUCAAAUAAGCCUUUAUAAGCCCCCUUUCCUCUUUAGUACCAUACUUCUUACAUGAAUGAAAAAUGUUCAACUCAAUUGUCAUGUUCCCAAAGGUAAGUUGCAUCACCCCACUUCGACAAUUAAUCAAUACAUUUGUUGUGGCAAUGAAAGGUCGACCAAGUAUAAUAGGAACAUGGUUGAGUCCACUAAUUCCUUGUUCCGUAUCAAACACCACAAAAUCAACUAGAUAAUAGAAAUUAUCAAUUUGGAUCAACACAUCUUCAAUAAUUCCUCUUGGAAACUUAACCGAUCUAUCCGCCAAUGAAAGUGUGAUGGAAGUAGACUUUAGUUCUGGAAGCCCUAAUUGCAUAUAUAUUGAGUAGGAAAGAAGAUUCACACUUGCACCCAAGACUAAAAGUGCUAUUUUCACAAAAGUGUUGCCAAUAUUCAACAAGAUAGUUGGACAUCUUGGAUCCUUAUACUUGAUUGGAGUCUUGCAUUGGAUGAUUGCACUAACUUGUUCAGUCAAGAAAGCUUUCUUUUUCAAAUGCAUCAUUCUCUUUAUGGUACACAAAUCCUUAAGACACUUGGCAUAGGCUGGAACUUGUCUAAUCAUGUCAAGGAGUGGUAUAUAGACUUUUACUUGCUUCAAAACUUCAAAAAUUUCUGAAGCAUUAUUUACCAUCUUCCUUGAUUGAAGAGCCAUGGGAAAAUGUGGAGAUAAGAACAUAUCCUUGUUCAUUUUAGCUUCACUCUUCUCCUCCUUUUCUCUUUCAAAAUUUUCAGUCUUUGUUCUUUUACUCUUCUUAUCAUUUUCAGUCUUCACUUCCUUCUCUUUUGGUUUUGGCAUAGGUUGAUCAACUUGCUUAACACCUCUUAAGGUAAUGGUUGCUUUGACUUCAUCAUACUUAGUAUAACUUUCACUUGUCUUUCCAAUUUUAUGGACUUGACUUGGAUUUUGUUGGGGUUGUGAAGAGAAUUUUCGUUUUUCUUGCACCUUAUGCAUGUUUUUGAGUUUAGAAAUAGCAAGCUGCAUAUUAUCAAUCUUUUGUGUGAGAUUGGUUUGCAAGCUAUCAAAUUUCUGAUUGAAAGAUGUCUCCACAUGAUCUAUCAUUUGAUUUACUUGAGUAGUGAUAUUCUUUUGAUCACUAAUAAAAUCUUCUAAAAUUUUACUCAAGUUUACAAUAGCUUGCUUAGCCAAAGAAACUCGUUGUGAAGAGUCUUCCAUGAAUUGUUGGCUUUGUGAGUAUUGACUUGAAGAAAAAUACUCUUGUCCACAAUUCCAUGACAUGUUUGGAUGAUUAUCAACAAGUCUUUCCCCCAUAGCUGGUAUUGUAGGACAAUCACUCACUUCAUGUUCUAUAGAUUGACAACUAGAACAUUGCUCCAUGUAAAUUGUAUUAUCAUAUAUUGCAUUCACCUCGUGAAAUCCCUUAGCUUCAAGUUCCUCUAGCCUUUUUGUCAAAGCUAUCAUUUUAGCUUGUAGAUCAACAUAUUUAUUCAACAUAUACAUUCCUCCAUUUGAAUUGCUUUGAGACUUGGACUUGUGUGAAUCCCUUUCAUGUGGCUCAUCCCAUGACCUUGAUAUUUCAGCCACAUAAUUCAAAAAUUCAAAGGCUUCAUCGGGACUUUUGCUCAUAAAGUCACCUCUACACAUGGUUUCUAGCAAUUGCUUCAUAGUUGGCGACAUGCCUUCAUAGAAGUAACUCACCAACAUCCCUGUCUCAAAACCAUGAUGAGGACAAGCAUUGACUACUUCCAUAUAUCUUUCCCAACAAGCACAAAAUUUUUCAUUGUCCAGUGCCACAAAGUUAGUAAUUUGCCUUUUCAAGCCACUUGUGCGAUGUAUGGGAAAAAAAAUUCUUCAAGAAGGUUGUUUAUAGUUCCAACCAUGACCUUAUGCUUUGGGGCCUCAAUGAGUUAAACCACAACUUAGCCUUAUCCUUUAAUGUGAAUGGAAAAAGCUUUAAUCUCAUAAGCUCUAUGAAUGUAUUUCCCUCAUGAAAUGUAUGACAUACUUCUUCAAAAUCCUUUAUAUGAGUAUAAGGAUUCUCAUUCUCCAUUCCAUGAAACUGAGGGAGAAGUGGUACCAAGUGAGUUUUUUUUUUAUUUUUUAUUUUUAUCACAAUAGGCUCAUUAGGAAGAACUAUACAUGAUCUCACGCCUAUCCUUUGAGGAUUCAUAAAUUCUCUCAUUGAUCUAGACAUGUGAGAAUUGCCAUUGCUUGGUCCUUGUUGAGUUUGUUGAUUUUCCCCUUGAUUUUCCAUUUCCCCAACAAUUGGAUCACAAACUAAAGAUGAUUAGCAAUGUAAGUCCUUUGUAAUCUCUCCCUUGAGUUUUAUUCUAAAUGUAGCAUGCAAUGGAGAGCCUACAAAACAAGCUAAAAAAAAAAACCAAAACAAACCAAGAAGAACAAAAAGAGAAAUAAAAGAUAAAAAUGGAAUUAAAAAAAAAUGGAGAAUCGGUAAAGAAAACUUCAACAAUCUUGUGAUGUGGAUCACAGGGGCUAAUCCUCACGAAAAAAUUUGCCUCAAUAACCUUAGCACCAUCCCCAGCACCAGCAUCAUUUUUGAUCGCUUGGUUUUUCGUCGUUUAUUGGAUCAAAACAAAAUUUAUAACCUAAUUCACUAUUCUAGAGUAGCUUGUACCCCAUCAAAAAGUGGUUUUUGUACAAACUACUGUAGUGUAAUGGUUUCUAGGUGUCGUUCACUAGGAUGGAUUAUUCUCGGUAAGAAUGAGAGGAUAAGAAAUGAUUGUGAUCAAGUGAAAUUAAUUUAAAAAUUCAUAGUGAAAAACUAAUGUAACAAUGGUCUCAAAUUGAAAAGAAAAAUGAAAUGAAAAAUAGAAGAAAAUUAAUAGGAGAUGAAAUUCUCGGAGUUAAGAUUUUCUAGAAAACAAUUUCCAUGGUGAAUAGAUGUUGAGAUCUAAUUUUCAUCAAGUUAGAUUGAAAACCUAAAUUUUCAUUUAAACCGAUUUUUGAUUUAGCUUUAGGUCUAGAUCUAAUUUCUCUUCAAAUUAGGUCAUUUAAUCCAAGAGAUCAAUUCAAUUCAUCUUAAAUUAUCUUCCAAUGAUUCACACAAUGCAACUAUUCAAUCUUAUCAAAUCCAGCUUUAAGAAUUUAAUGAAUCUACCUAGUUUGCAUUGUAGAAGUCAUCCAAGACAAUUUGAAGAGAAAAAUCCCCAAAAUUCAAUUAAUCAAUCAAUUGGAUCAAAUCACAUUUGCAAUUCAAGCUCAUUUCUCUAAUUCACCAUAGACCUUGCCUUUAGAUCCUCCUUUCUCUGAGAAAAACGAGAUUUAACCACUCAUGCUUGGAGAUUUGGUCUCAUAAGACAUGUUUGGCUAGUAAGAAAAUGAAAGAAAAUGAGAGAAAAUGAAGGAAAGUAGAGAAUUAUCUAGAGAGAUAAAAUUUGAAAAAUUCUACAAAUUAGAAAUAUCCAAAAAGCUCCUCAAAUGAGAAAAUCAAGUUUCUAUUUAUAGGUCAAGGUCAAGUGGACACUUGGCAUCAUUUAUGAGGUCUUUCGAAGGCUUCUUCACCAAGAAAUCUAGAGUUUAGUAAUAAAAUGGUCAUUUCGCACGAGAUCCAACAAUUUCGCAUGAUUGUACGAAGUAAAAAAUGCAUCAACACCAAUUUUCGCCUUCAUGGAGCAUUUCGCAUGUUUUGCAUGGUCAUGCGAAAUCAGCUUUGAGAUUUCCCUUUAAUUUACAACAAAAAUGUCUUCUGGUCCAUUUCACAUGACUGUGUGAAAUUUUCGCAUGAUCAUGCGAAAUGGAAAUACAUAAUUUUUCAACUCUUUUUUGUCAUUUCUUCCAUUUCUUUCUUUUGAAUCCACCUCAAUCACCUCCAAAUCAACUCCAAAUCCCGGUCCAAACCAAUUGCAUUACUUCUUUCAUUAUGUAUUUGGAUCUUCAUCAACUUUAUUUGUUCUCUUCAAUUUGAUUCAUCUCUUGUGUCACCAAUUUAUCAAAAUCAUACCUUGAAAUGACUCCAAAACUUCAUAAAACUUGUUAGUAACUCUUGCAAGGGCAACAACAUGUUAAUUGAGUGUUUUAAGCAUAAUUACUACUCAAAAGAUGUGAAACUCGUGAGAAUUAGUAUCUAAAAUAUACUUUUUUGAGCAGUAAUUAGUUAAGUUACACUUAAAUGAUAACAAAUUAUUUGAGUAACCCUUCCUAUAUUGAAGUAUCAUUGGGGGGCUUCAAUAUUUGACUAUGACUCAACCUAAUAUAUCCUUUACUGUAAACAAACUUAGUCAAUUUCUUUAUGCACCUACAAAUCAACAAUGGCAAGCCUAUAAAAGAGUACUGAGGUAUUUAAGAGGCACAAUUGGACAUGGCUUGAAGUUUCAACUAAAAAAAGCUUUGGUCCUUGAAGGAUUUACCGAUGCAAAUUAGGUUAGUAACAUUGAUGACAAGAGAUCUACAAGUGGUUAUUGUAUUUUUCUUGGAGGAAAUUUGAUUUAAUGGAGUUCUUGAAAGAAAAAAGUUGUAGCAUGUUGGUUAUGUAUUGAGAGUGAGUAUCAAGUUUUAGCUCAAGCUGCUACUGAAAUAGUUUGGCUACAAAUUAAGCUUGUUUGUUGAACUUGGACUCAAAACUAUGCAUAGUCCUAUAUUGUGGUGUAACAACAUUGAAGUAAGAUCCUUAGCUUCAAAUCUUGUGUUUCAUGCAAAAAAAAAAAAAAAAACACAUAGAGAUUGACAUUCAUUUUGUGAGACAAAAAGUUAUUGCAAAAGAGCUAGAUAUAAGGUAUGUGCCAACUGAAGAACAAAUUGUAGAUCUAUUGACUAAGCCCUUAACCACUACUCGGUUUGAACUACUUCAUGACAAACUCAUCUUUGCCAAGGCAUAACAUUGCUUGAGGAAGUGAGUUGAAGCAAGUGGUUAAUUAGUUUCAACUAACUCUGUAAUUAGUUCGCAGGACUAACUACUUUCUAUUACAGAAAGUUCUCUAUGCUUCCAGAAUUCUCUAGUUACAUCCAUGUCUAUGUAUAAAACUUAAGAAUACUAUAAUUGUUUUUCUUAGUUCAUCAAUCAAACUAGACAUAGUUAUGCUGAAAAAGAUAAUUAUCUCACUUGCAAACAUAUCUGGGUGGAAUUAAAAACAGUUAAUUUAUAUUGUAAUGAUCAUUGAUAUUAAUUAAGAAGAAUAUUCGGCUCUUAAUUUGAGAAUGUAUCAAUUUGGAAAUUCCAACAAUUUGUUUAAUAGUUGCAAAUGAUAAAUUAUAAUUUAGGAAUAAAAAAAUAUUAAUUGUAUAUUUUUAGUUUUUUUCCGUUUUCCACUUGACACAAAUAUUGCAAUUUUUUAUUAAAUUAGUUUGUUUAGAACAUUAUUUCAAGAACAAAAUUAAGAAAAGAUAAUUUGAUAUGAAAUAAAAGUCCGAAAUAAAUUAUUUGUUAUUUGAUAGAAAACUUGAUAGUAGUAAAAUAUGUUUAUAUAUAUAAAAAAUUUUCUUACUGUAGACCCCUGUUAAGGUGAAGGCCUGGGGGAGAAUUGGGAGGGGUUUUUUUUUUUCAUUUUUUCACUGCAUUUUUUGGAGAGUUGGGGGGGGGGGGGGGGGGGCGGGGGGCCUCCUCUAGGCAUGGGACGUGUCAGGUUGGUAGUUGAGGAGGCCAUGCUGCUGAUGUGAUGAACAGGGUGAUGAGGAAGAAGACAGAAACCAGCUGAGGGGCAAGAGGAUAGCAGGGAGCAAGGGUGAGGAGGAAGGAACUUGAAGCCUAGCUAGUCUUGAGAGAGUCCACUUACAGGUACGAACCUCAUGUCUUUCACCUUCCAUUAUUCUCCUAUCCUUCCUGACGUUUUUUUUAGUUCUAGUCCUAAACCAUAAUUUGUUUACUUUGUUUACUUUGGUUAAAUUUAGUCCUCUGCAUACAUGCUUUGUUCUUGGUUUUUUUUUUUUUUUCUUUGUUUCGUUUUCUCCCACCCCUUGGAGCUGGUUGCAACUGACGAACCCCUAAAGAGGAGCACUGAAUCAGUGCCAAUCCAAAGCGUUUCUUACGCUAUGAAACCGAAGAACUCCUCCUGCUUAUCUGUAACUCCGAUGAAAUGGACUUUGACGAUGUCGUUUCUGUUAUCCAUGACGAUGAGGAGCUUCAACCUGGACAACCCUAUUUCGCGCUGCCAUUGGGCAAGUUGAAGCAACCGCUUCAGGCGGAGGAGAUGGCCGCUUUGGCUGUCAAGGCGAGGUCCGCCCUCAUGAGGAGUGGCGGAGACCAAUGCCAGUGUCGCCAAAAGUCUCCAUUGCCGGCCAUGUUUUCUGGCGAGAAGGACUCGAAGUCGUCCGGGAGAGUAGCUCCCGGCGGUGGUGUCGAAGGCGGAGGAGGCAGUGAGACGGAGGAGUACGUGGAUGCGCCGUGAAGAGGACGCACGUAGGCUGCCGUUCUCUGGCGCUUAUUCCGACGUGGUGGCGUCGCCAUUGCCGCCGCGGGAAGGUGGUGAUCGUGCUGAAGCCAGGCGCGGGGGGGCGUGCUGUGAAGAAGAUGAAGUUUGGGCUUGGGCUUGAGUUGGGGCACUAGGCCCAAUUUUGUGAUGGAGAUAGGUUUUGGGCUUACCUAUGUUGGUUUUUGGUUUUGGGCUUACCUAUGUUGGUUUUUGGUUUUGGGCUUGCCUAUGAUGGCUUUGGUUUUGGGCUUAAGUUGGAGCCCAGGCCCAAGUUUGCUGAUGGAAGGCCCCAUUGCUCCUUAUGCUAGCCACUCUCAUGGCCCAAGUCCAUGAUGAGUGAGCCCAUUUAGCUACUUCAUGUCCUAACAAGUUUUAAAUCUUUAAUCUUAGUAAAUUAUUAACUUAUUCAUGCAUUUUCAUUUUACUUUUUUUAUCUUAUUUUAUCUUCACUAAUUUAGUUAGCUCAAACUUAAAGACAACUUAAAGACAAAUUAUUAAUUAUAUUUUUAUCUCGAAAUUUAUACUAUUCAAUUUCACUAGCUUAAACAUUAUGAUUAUUAAUUAUUAUUAUUAUUUCGCAUGUAUCUAUUUAUCAUAUUUCAAAAAUCUCAUUUUAUUAAAGUUAAAAUUCUAAUCCUUCAAAAUCCUAUGUCUUAAUUUAAUUCUUCGAAUAUUUGUUUAAAUCUCAUUUUCAUCCAUUAGAAUUAUUUAUCUCAUAUUUAUCUAGCUAUUUAAAGUCUAAUCUUUUAAAAAUCCUAUGUUUUAAUUUAAUUCUUCAAUAAUCAGUUCAAAUUUCAUUUUCAUCCAUUAGAAUUAUUUAUCUCAUAUUUAUCUAGCUAUUUAAAAUCUAAAUCCUUUAAAAAUCUAAUGUCUUAAUUUAAUUCUUCAAUAAUUAGUUCAAAUCUCAUUUUCAUCCAUUAGAAUUAUUUACCUCAUAUUUACCUAGUUAUUUAUAGUCUAAUCCUUAAAAAAUCCUAUGUCUUAAUUUAAUUCUUCAAUAAUUAGUUCAAAUCUCAUUUUCAUCCAUUAGAAUUAUUUAUCUCAUAUUUAUCUAGCUAUUUAAAAUCUAAAUCUCUCAAGGAAAUCGUAUGUCUUAAUUUAAUUCUUCGAAUAUUUGUUUAAAUCUCAUUUUCAUUCAUUAGAAUUAUUUAUCCUACAUUAUCUAGCUAUUUAAAGUCUAAAUCUUUCAAGGAAAUCUUACGUCUUAAUCUAAUUCUUCAAUGAUUAGUUCAAAUCUCAUUUUCAUCCAUUAGAAUCGUUCGUCCCAUAUUUAUCCAGCCAUCUAAAGUCUAAAUCUUUCAAGGAAAUCAUGUCUUAAUUUAAUUCUUCAAUAAUUCGCUUAAAUCUUGUUUUCAUCAAUUAGAAUUAUUAUCAUAUAUUUACCUAAUUAUUCAAAGUCUAACCCUUCAAAAAUCUCAUGUCUUAAUUCAAUUUUUCAACAGUCCAUUCAAACCUUAUUCGUCUAAAUGUUAUCUUCCUUAAGUAGAAUUAUUAUCAUAUACCUAUUUAUUUAUUUAAAGUCCAAUUCUUCAAAAACCCAACGUCAUAAUUUAAUUUUCAACCCUAAAAAUUCCAUUAUUCUUUUUAUUAGUUUAAAUGUUAUUUUCAUUAAUUAGCAUUAUUAUCCUAUAUUAGUUUAUUUAUUUAAAAUCCAAUCCGUCAAAGAUCCAAUGCCCUAAUUUCAUUUUCCAAGUCCUAAAAAUUCCACUAUUCGUCUAAAUGUCAUUUUCGUUAAUUAGGAAUUAUUGUCUCAUAUUUAGUUAUUCAAAGUCUAAUCCUUCAAAAAUCCAAUGUCAUAAUUUAAUUUUCAAUCCUAAAAAUUUCAUUAUUCGUCUAAAUGUUAUUUUCGUCAGUUAGAAACUUCAUACUUGUUUAUCUCUUUUAAAAAUCUCAAUAAUUGAACUUAAUUUUCAACCCUAAAAGUUCCACUAUCCUUUUUUAUUCGUUUAAAUGUUAUUUUCGUCAAUUAGUAUUAUUACCCUAUGUUAGUUUAUUUAUUUAAAAUCUAAUUCUUCAAAAACCUCAUGUCUUAAUUUAAUUUUUCAAUCCUAAAAAUUCUAUAAUUUGUUUAAAUGUUAUCCUCAUCAAUUAGAAUCAUUAUCCCAUAUCUGUUUAAAGUCCAAUCUUUCGAAAACCCCAUGCCCUAAAUUUGACUUUCAAUCCCAGAAAUUCCAUCAUUCGCCUAAAUGUUAUCUUCAGUAAUUAGAAUUCUUAUCACCUAUCUAUUUAUUUGUUUAAGGUCCAACUCUUCAAAAAUUCAACACCUUAAUUUAAUUUUUAAUCUUAAAGAUUCCACUACUCAUUUUCUAUUCGUUUAAAAUAUUGUUUCCGUUAAGUAGCAUUAUUAUUCCAUAUUAUCUAUUUAAUCUAAUUGUUAAAGUUUAAUUCAUCGGAACCCGACUUCCAAAUCUAAUUUCCAACCUCAAAAGUUCUGCCGUCCAAAUAUCGUCGUUUAAUGAUUAUUCUCAUUAUUAAUGUUAUCCCAUCCACUUACUUAUUCAAUUACUCAUAUACCAAAGAUCUCAUCCCUGAACAAAUUCUUAAGUUCUCAAACUCUAAGUUCACAUCUUCAAAUCUCUAAAAUUCCAUCUUUUGCAAUUAUUUACCUAAUCUUUAUUGCUUCACCACUAUUAUUAUUCCAUUCCUUUACUUAUUCACUCAUCCACUUACCUACUCGUUUAAAAUCUCGAACUCUCAAAUCAUUUCCAAAAUUCCAAUUUCUUUAAAAUUUAAUUUCUAAAAAUUCUCAUUCUUACAUUUAAUUCCUAAAAAUCCAAUUUUCAAAUAAUCUCCAAGACUAAUUUUCAAAUGAAUUUCAAAAAAUCUAGUUUUCCCUUGAACAAUUUUAGUUUCUGUUUGGUAAUGCAAGUGAUAUGUUUUAUGCUCUUUAUUAUACACUGACCCCAUUUUUAUGAUAGCGCAUUGCUCGAUCGUGGCCCAGGUACGCAUCCAUUCCAUUUCUAGUCAUUUUAUAUGCACGUUUUGAUUCCCAUAUAUGCAUGAUCGAUUCGAGUAUCCAUUGAUUUUCCUAUUGAUUGCCACGUCAGCUUCAUUUUAUUAGUAGAGACCCGACUUUAGGGACUUAGAGGGGUGCUAUAGUUUUUACCGUACCUUCCCGAUAAGUAACCUAACCCCCGAACCCGAUCCGGUUUUUUUGUAGAUCACCUUUUCCAAAAUAAGGAGUCGCACUUAGAGUUUUCUUUCUUAUUUUGUUUACCCUUUUAAAAUAGAACAAAAAUAAGUGGCGACUCCAAGUCAUUUUCUAAUAAAUAAAAUUGUUUUUCAAAUAAAAUCAAGUUCGUCAUCGAGUGGAAAACGCGUGAGCCGAAAUGCGAGGUCCACACUUACUUUUUCCUUAUUUCAUACCUAAGGUAGAUGCCUUACAAAAUAAUUAUUUGAUAAAAAAAAAUUGAUUAUUUUGAAAACAAUGUAAUCAAUUUUCACUUUUACUAACUGAUUAGAGUGUUUUACAGAAAAUAUAGGGAUGGAAAAUAGAUAGUUCAAAAUAGAUCAAAUCUCAUAUUCUUAUCUUUAUUCUAAUAAAAAUUUUAUACAAAAUUGGGUGGAGUACAAAAAAAUAAUUAUGAGAAUUUCUCAUAUUUUGUCUGUCUUGUACUAUUAUUAUUAUUUCUAAAAAACCUAAAUAUUAAUUAUAUUAAAACUAAAAAUAAUAGGCAUAAGAUAUAAAAAAUAAAAGGAAAAUAUGAAAAAUAAAAUAUUUUUUUUAAAAAAAAUUAAUUAUAUAUAGAAUAGGGAUAAGAAAUAAGAAUAAGGAAAUAUUGAACCGAGUUUUCUUUUUCCUUUUUUAAAUAAAAAAUAAAAAAAUCUCAAACCAGUUCUAAUAGGGGUAAGGUGGGUAAGUACCUAAAAAACCCACUUCAGCCUCGUUUCAACACAAAAACGAAUAGUUUUGCUAAACUAGGUGGAGGAAGAUCAUGGACUUACGUAUAGAUUAUUUUUUAAUAAAUAAAUAAUUUAUUAUCCUUUGAAGCUUAAAAAAAUAAAAAUAGUUUUUUAACCUAUAAGACAUGUUAAAUAAACUUUUGAUAAAGAAAAUUUUCAUGAUAAUUUGUUUUGAAAAUGAAUUGUUUUUCGGAACAAAUUUGAGAUUUUUUUAUUGUUUUUUGAAAAAGAUUUUAAUUAAUAAUUUAAAAUAAAAAAUAAUUUAAACAAAUAGUUUCAUAGAAAAUAAAGUUAGAAACUAUUUUUCAUAUUUAAGUUCCAAAUAUAUUUUUAUUUCUAAAAAAAUGAAUUUUUUUUUUAAGAAUCAUUCUCAAAAACUAUUAUUUGAGAAUUGUUUUUAAAAUAUUACUAAACAAGCCCUUACAAUUUUUAAUUUUUCCAUCCUAUAUAUAAUGUUAAUCAUAAUUAAAGUAUAACUUGUCUAAGCCUAAUUAGAUUUUUGGAGAAGUGUAGGUUAUAUGUGCCAAGUGUUACACUUGGAAUCAGUUUUUAGAUCCAUUGUCCACUUAUAGAAAAUGGUUUUAUUUUUUUUAGAACAUCAAAAUAAUAUUCUAACUCAAUAGAAAAUAUAUUUUUAAAGAAAAAAUUAUUCGAACAAGUUUCAAUUUUUUUUCUUUUUAUAAAAUAUCCUAAACAUAAUUGAAAGAUGAGAAUACUUUGUACAUUAUUUUCGUAAAAAGUAAGUCUAAAUUUUUUUUUUAUACCUAUGUUUCUAAACAAAAUUUCGUUUUGAUCGAAAAAUAAUUUAUAACAACUAUUCUAAAAAGAAAUGUAUUGUACUCAUAAACAUUGCUAUAUAUGCAUGUUCUAAAUUCAUAUUUAAUUUGAAAGAAAAACUAAUUUUCUCACCAUUAUUUUAAUUAUCACCAUAUCCUCUUCUUCGAACUUGAAAUCAAGUUGAAUUGAUGAUUAUUAAAAAACAGGAGUGUCUGUGAUAUUUUAUAUGGGACAAUUGUGUUUUGGACCCAACUAGGCUCAAAAAUUAAGAUUUGACCCAUAAAAGUUGCAUAAUUGAUGGGAAUGAUAUAAAAUGUGAAAAGACCAAUAUACUCUUCAAAACUAUUUUGAGUAUUUUCUACCACAAUGUUUUAUAAUAUUUUUUACCUUUAUUUUUUUUAAUAAUUAUUUUGAAAUUUUAUUAUUUUUAGAAAACUAUUUUUUUUAAAUAUAUAUUCUAAAAAUAUAUCAUUUAAAAAUAAUAAUUUUGACAUAUUUUUAGUUAUUUUUUACAUACAUAAUUUUAAAAAUAUAUAUUUUUCAUAUUUGUAGACCCCAUUUUGGGGCUCAUUUGUUGUAGUUUAUCUUGCCAGUUGGAGGGCUCUUAAGGAGCCACGUGUUGCCUCAAGAGAGGGUGUUAAAUAAUCAUAUUAGUGGGUAGAGGAUGCAAUGGAGAAAAGACAAGUGUUGAAGGAAUAUUUUGGGGGGAGUGUAUUCUAUUAGAUAGGGACAGUGAGGCAGUUAGAGAGGGGGAAGAGAUUUUGUUGUUGGUUACAGAGAGGUUUUAGGAUAGCUUAGAGGGCAAGACAUCCAGAGGAGGGGGGGAGGAGGGAAGAGCAAGAGAACUUGAGGAGAAAGAUAGCUAAAAAAGAAAAACAGAGAGUUAUAGGAAGGAAGAGCGUUGUAGGGUUGAUAACUUGAGGAGCAAAUUGGUUUGGGAGGAAGGACUGAGAGAAACAAGCUGGGUAUUCCGGAGACAGUGGGUGUGAGACUGUGAGAGAACAUCUGGAGGAGAAAAUUAGUUGGAGGUUGCUUGAAGGAGGAAAAGAAAACUUGAAAGAAUUUUUUCCAGGUACAUUUGUUGUAGCCUCUUGGAUUGCUUUUACUCAUCAUUUUUUUUUUUUUAAUCUUUCAUUCUCUCUAGUUGUCUCUGAUUUUCUGGGCAUCGGUCAAUUGUUUGGGCAUUAGUAUGAUGUUGUAUUACACUUCUCUCAUAUUUGUUUAUUUGAAUAUGGCUCAUUCCCAUAGUAGGAGUUUGUUGAUGCUCUCAUUUUGAUAUUUGUUAUGAACUAUCCUACUGCACCACUGGUCGGCGAAUCCCUGGAUUUCAACAUGAAAAGGGAUCCCACUUAAUAUUCUGCUCACUCUAUUUACUUGGUUCUGGGUAAGCUGUAUCCUGUUUUGCACACUUCUUUACUUCCGGCACCUCAAUUCAUAUCCCUUUUUAUGGCUUAUAUCUUCAAAUUUGCUCUGGACGAUUGGUUGUGUGUUUUGAUCUGUGCUUGAGGAGAGAGGGUUGUGUGUUGGCUUACUACUCUAGAUCCGUGACCCCAGUGGACGAGAUGUAUACAUGUGUUAUAUUAGCUCUUAUUUUGGCUGCUGGGUAUGCCACUGAUGCAUUUGGGAUCCAAGUUCUAUGUAAUUGGUUUUUCCAUGGGUGGACAGGUGAUUUGGAGUUGCCUCAAGUAUAUCCCUCAUAGGCUGGUAGGUGCAACACUAAUAGCUCUAGUGGUCAACUACUGGUGGCCUAGUUUUCCUACAAACUUAUCUAAAGAAGCCUACUACCAAUAGUUUCGGUAGGAUUAGUGGGCGCUUCGUGUUGCUCACUACACACCGUGGCUUACUUACCGGUGGAACACUCAAAAGUGGUUUUCUGCUUGUAGUGUUGCAGAACACAACACUAAUAUUCUUUCUCGCCCAGACAAAGAGCUCAUGCCUAAGCUUUCAAAGAUAAAGGAAUAUAUGGCGUAGGUGAGACAACAAGGAGAAUUUGAGUCUAUCCACCGUGACUUGAUGAUUAGAUUUGGAACUUGGGAAUUUGAUCCCAUGGAUCUGAAGAACCCAUUCCCAAACAAUGAAGGUUCUAUCCACCUAUGGCAUGGAGAUGAAGAUGCAAUUGUGCCUGUUUCACUGCAAUACUACAUUACCCAACAACUCCCAUGGAUCAUAUUUGUAGAUAUCCAUCUGUUUGAUCAGCUCAAUGGGCAGAGACCUCUGCUGAAUCUUCUUCUUUAGGUAGAACCUCACAAGCUCCUCAUUUAUGGGAUGAAACCUAAAGCCAUGCAGCAUAACAUCAUCCAUUUUAUCAGCAUCAUUCCUCUCAUCCAUCAUCCAUUUUCUUCCCUGAUUUCCUCAAACCUGAUUAGGAAUUAGAAUCAAUGAACUCUCUAAGCUGAUAUGGUAGUGAGCUUUUUGGAAAACUAACACCAACCCAUCAAUGGAAAUUACAAUUCACUUUAUUCAAAGCCAUUAUAUGCCUUAUGAUAAGAAGCUUGACUACGCAGCUUGAGCCAGGUUUUAUGGUGGUUGUAAGGGGGAGUGUUUAUCAGUGAAUAUCACAAUGACUUGGUGAUAAGAAUAGCUAAAGGAAAGCUCUGUGAAGAACAACUAGUUACGAGAGAGAGAUAUUCAAAGAAGAGGUUAGAUUCAAGGAGAAACGGAGGAAAGAGUCCCAAGUUUCCUUCCUUAAAGCCUGAAAGUAAAAAUCUAGUGGAUGAAUCUUUGAAAGCUAAUGAAAAGAAAGAAGAAAAAUCCAAGAAAGGUGAUGGUGAUAAGGUGAGAAAGGGAAUGGAGAAGGGGUCUAAGAAAAAUGAGGUGAAAUCUUAGAAAGGGCCGUUAAGAGUUGGACUGGACAUGUGCUAAAAAAAUGGGGAUGUUAUGUGUGCGCUUGAACUAUAUGGUUUGGCUCUAAGGAAAUGAAUUGAAUUAGGGCAAUAUCACUAUAUUGUUCUUUUGUAUCUUUGUUCUUUAGCAGCACUUGGUGUUAUUUAACCUGCAAAAAGUGGAACUGGUAGCCGGAGUUUGGACAUGCUGAGCCCUUCUAGUGAAGCUCAUGGUGAGGUUUCCGAAGAUUUGGCAGAAUUUGGGGACACGAGCAAGAAGAAUUCUGAAGCAUUUGAAGUAGCAAAAGAUGAUUUGGAUGGUAGUUUCACUGAAAUGGACAAGUUAUCUCUAGUCUUUAAUUGCUUUAAUAAGUCAAAUAGUCAACUUUUGGAAGGUCAAAAGCAUUUAAGAAAGGGUGUUGAUGACUCCACAAAUAUAAAAGAAGAUAAUGAAAUUUGGGUAAGUGAAGAUUUCAAGAAGUAUGCACUCCGAAGUGGAUUUCAAGAAGUCCCAAUGAAUGAAGCAACCUUGACAUCGUUGGUGAGAAUGGCAAUGUCCAUGGGUAAUGGUGACAUGGCUUUUGAUAUGGUAAAGCAAACGAAACCACUGGGGAUAAAUCCUAGACUACGGUCUUAUGGUUCUGAACUUUUUACUUUCUGCAACAAUGGAGAUAUUGAGAAAGCAUUUGGUGUUGAAGAACGCAUGUUGGAGCAUGGUGUCUAUCUUGAAAAGCCAAGUUUUAUACCGAUUUUACUAGAACAAGAGCAACCUGAUGAACAAAUGUAUUCCCUUGCAGCCAUGCCAUCGUCCUUGACUGCACAAAAAUUUCUUCCAAAUGCAGUCCCCGUUGGUCAUUUCCUUGGAUUGAUGCACAUACCAUCUUCUAUUCAACUAGUAAACCAACAACUUGCACUAAAUUUGCCUACAACUGCCUGCCUUGGUGAAAAAUCACUUCCAUGUCACGAUGCCAAUGAUGCAGGGAGCUGCUAGGUUUCCUUCCUAGAUAGGCACCAAUGUCAAGGGGAUGGAAUGAUCCAUUUUUUGAGGCUGAUCGGCGAUAAAUAGCCAAACAAGCAACUGCCUUUAAGCGAGUACAUCCAAUAUUGCAUUUGCUUGCUAGUUCACUGCCAUCAACCCAAGUUGCUAGGUUGCUUACAAAUUAAUUCACAACUAGUGCACCGACUGCACCACAACAGACAUUUGCAUCAACUUCAUCUGGUAAUGGGUUCUCACUUUUUUGGUAUUUCAUCUUCUGCUCCAUCUAUCAUCCACCUACAUCCAAACUUCUGCCAAGUCACCUUUGUUGACCUCACAUGUAGACUGUACAAGUCUAUGGUUUGAGUUUGAGGCAAAGUUUUUCCGAAUUUGAUGAUUCAGAUUCAAAGGAAGGUUUCCUAACCGAUUCAUAGGAUGGUAGAGUGAACACAGUAGCACUCUGGGUUUCAUUCCUACAUGGUUAUCCCUCACCAUCUCUCUCACUUAUGCACAUAUGCAUGGCCACCUUUGGGUCACGUGUCACUCUUCCAUUUCUUCAUCCUUGCUUUUAAAAAAAAUAGUUUCCGAAACCCUAGUUUGCCAAUAAUUUUCCAAAUUCUAGUUUUUCAAAUAAUUUCAAUUCUUCAAAUUUUCAUUCUUAGAAUUUUUAGGUCCCAAAAGUCCCGUUUUUCAAUAAAAAUUUGCUGUCAUUUUCUUUGGUGGGGGCAAUUUUCACAUUUUCUUUUAUUUUUAAAAUGUUUUGAAAUAAACGUGGAUUUAAUUUCGUAAUUCCGAAUAAUGGAAAUUCAUAGGAUUAAUUCAUGCAAAAAUAAAUCGGGCUUUGGUGGGGGCAAUUUUCAUAUUUUCUUUGAUUUUAAAAUAAGCAUGAAUUUAUUUUUGUAAUUCCAAGUGAUGGAAUUUACAGAAUUGAUUCAUGCAAAAAUAAAUCAGGCUUUGGUGGGGGCCCAAUAUAUGUGAUUUUCUCAUUGAUUGAUUGCUAUACAUGACAGACUUAUUUCACUCUAUGACAUGCAUGCGAUUAUGUUGUGUUUGUUUACUAAUCUUUGUUUUCCAUGAAGAAAAUCAGCUCAUCACUCAGGUACAUUCUUGGCCUCUCUUGUUCAUUCGAUUAUUUUGUUUUGAUUGAUAUUCAUUCGGUAUCCAUAUUUGAUCAAUCAAUUGCCAUACUUGCUUCAUCUCAUCAGUAGAGACUCGUUUUUAGAGACUUAGAGGGGUGCUACGGUCUUUAUCGUACCUUCUCAAUAAGUAAGCUGACUCCCAAGCCCAGAUUUGGUUUUUCAUAGACCACCUUUUCCAAAAUAAAGAGUCACACUUAGGGUUUUCUUUCUUAUUUUGUUUACCCUUUUUAAAAAAUAAAUAAAUAAGUGACGACUCCAAGUCAUUUUAUAAAAAUAAAUCAUUUUUAAAUAAAAAGCAAGUUCUCCAUCAAGUGAAGACGCAUGAGCAGAAAUGCGAGGUCUACAAAAUGGCGACUCCACUAGGGAUCACUAAAGGGUCAAGCUUGAACUUAAGAUGAAGCAAAUGUGGUGUUUGAUUGGUCGAUCAAUAGGUACCCAUCUCUCUUUGUGCUUUUGUUUGCUUGACUACUGAUUGCACAUUGAGAGUUUUUUAUAUCAUUAUCCUGGAUACAUGUUUGGUUAUUGUGCUCAUUUGGGACAUUGACAUGUUGAUUAUGUUGAUUGAUUAUCUUGCUUGAGGAUUCUGAUGUAGCGAUUUUUCUAUGCUUCAUUGCUAUAUCUGUUUGGGACAUUGACAUGCUGAUUAUGUUGAUUGAUUAUUUUGCCUGUCUUAGCAUAGUGACUUUGAUUUUGCCAUGAUUGUUCUGCUCACCUCACAUGUAUAGACUUACUGUUGUAUAUCAUUUGACUUGAUGUGUUGAUUCUCUAGCUUGUAUAUUAUCUUGAUCAUCUUUGAGCAUGUUAUCUUUAUCACUAUUCAUCUUGAUUAUCAUAACUUGUAUGUGGACAUAAGUGAUAUAUAUGUACUUUGCUUGACUGUAUGGUGCAUGACUGCCCUCCUCUAUGUGAUUGCAGGUCGCUUAUUCAUGUGGGCCGCAUAUCUAUUCCCUUAUCUUCAACCCUCUGGUUUCAGUCAUCUCCUUCGUCUCGGCUCUUACUUUUGCAAGUGUGAGGCCUUGUGUGUACUUGUUUCUCUUACUGAGCUAGAGAUUAGGAGUAGGGACUAGCGAUGGGUUAUAUUGAUGGUUGGGAGCAUUCUGGAAGAGACCGACAUAUUGAUACUGAUUGAAGUCCUGAUCAUUGAAGACCUGUAUAGCCUAGAGCUAGGUUUCAUGGAUAUUUGUGCGAUCAAUAUGUUUCCUCUUUUGCUUUAGCUUCAUAGGAUUUUCGGAUGCACCCAUACCGCUCACUGUGCACUCUAGUUGACUAUUAAGUGUUGAGAGUUUCGCCAUAGGGAACUCCCUAGGAUGUCGAGGUAGUGCAUGUGUGGAGGUAAUGACCGCUUUGCAUGGAAGCGCCCUGUCUCUUCGGAGACGUGCAGAGGGUUGCGUACCGCCGGAAGGUAUGAUCGCUUCUACUAAAGAUCUUUUAAAGUCCACCCACAUCCUCUUAGAGCCACCUUGACCUUAUAGGUUAAGCCGUAGAUCCUUCGAUUAGGACUCAUUUCCUACACAUGGAUGCAUCUAAGGGACUUCAGAGCCUCUUUGGUCACGAUUUGGAUUCAGUACUCCCUCUUUUAGUCUCUAGUUGAAAAUGCACUGAGAUUAGUGCGAGUUUGAGUUAUAGUCAGACAGUCCGUCUACACUUUGAUGUUUUGCUCAUUUCAAUUCAGAUUAGCAUUUCUUCCGUGUUUUCCCUUGCCAUACCCUUAUUCCGUUUCUCAUGUUCCAGGAUCAACACUUUGUUCUCAGUCUAGAUUUACCAUCUUCUGUCAGAGUAGAGAGGAGAUUAGUUCGAUUUUCAGAGAGAUCAGACAUGGAUCAGCAGUUUGUCACAGUUGAUCAGUUAACGACCGUCAUGGCUUCUAUUCAAAAGGCCUUGGCCAGUCUCAGGCAGGAGAUAGGCAGUCAGCAGAGUAGACUACUCGUAGUUCAUACCGAGACGCCUUAUGACUCAUUGCCACCUCCACCACCACCUGUUUCGAUAGUGCCACAAGCCUCAUCUUAUCUAUUACAUGGUCAUUCUGAGAUUGCCCCGCCUGUAGUAGUACAGACCACAGUCAUUGAUGAUACUCAUGCACGUAUGGACCGUAUUGAGCAGCAUAUUGGAUAGUUGAGGGUAUCUGACAGUUCAACUAUUUGGGAUGAUCUUGAGGGUAUGCUAGUGGCCAGUUUACUGGCCAAGUUUAGGAUGUCCGACAUUGAGAGGUACACGAGCAUUGGUUGUCUUCACAUUCACCUGUAACUUUACAGCACGGUGAUGAGGGCUCAUGGGUUAGAUGAGUCACAUAUGAUCACCUUAUUCCCACUAUCUUUGAGUGGAGCGGCCCAGCGUUGGAUCGCAUCUUUGGAGUCCUCACGGCACAGGACAUGAGAUGACUUGGCCCAGGAGUUUUUGCUGCAGUUUUCAUUUAAUACUGUCAUAGAUGUGUCGAGAAGAGAGCUUAAGGUUCUGAGACAGAGAUCAGAUGAGUCUGUUUCUUCAUUCAUAUCCCGCUGGCGCGAGAAGAUAGCUGAGAUUAUGGAUACAGAUGGUUUUGAGGAGUCUAUAAUCUAGGAUCGCUAGACAUGUGGUCGGAGUGCCUUUCACAGACUUUGGCUAUCUGGUUUUGGCUCUAUAUGAUGUAGAGGAUGGUAUUUCGAGAGGAUUAUAGACAGAUUCUACCCAUAUUGAUGUUAAGGAAAAGAAACCAUCUGGAUAACAGAGAUCAGCUGAUGUGAGUGCUAUCAGUUCUACCAGUCAGAGGCCUCCCAGGCAUCAUCAGCCAGUUCCACAGCUUAUUAGGACUCACCUUUCUUAUGCACCUCAACAGUAUAGGCCAUGAGCACCUCAUCAAUCUUAUGAUCAGACUUACAUGCCACCCACCCUAGCACUACCUCAUUAUGCCGUGCAGGGCAUAAAGAGACCUCCUGCUUUAUAUCAUGCUCCAAUGCAGCCACUAUGCAACAUAGUUUGCCAUGAGACCCACAACAUCCUAUCUCAGGCCUAGAACUCAACAGACUUCUACUCUUUUUUCUUUGAGAACUCAGAGAUAGUUUUCACAGUUAGAUAUGUCGUUGAGCUAGGCUCUUUGGAAGCUCACAGGGGUCGGGUUGUUGAUGGCUCUCACUCCUAGGCCAUUGCUUCAGCUUGUCUCGCCUCAGUUUAGAAUGGAUCUACACUGUGCAUAUCAUCAAGGGCCAAGGCAUGAAACUAACCAUUGUACUGCUCUGAGACAUGCCAUUCAGGAUCCGAUUUAUUAGGGUUUGGUUCACUUGGAUCAGCCAAGUGUAACCACAAACCCAUUACCGGCCCACACUACACAUGCAGUUCCCUCUCCGAUCAAUGGCACACAUUUCCUUGACUUCGCUGAGCUUGACGAUCACAUCCACAUGUUGAGUUGGGAUGAGUCAAAGCCUGAGCCCAUAGUAUCAUAUGAGAUUUAUGAGAUAGACGAAGUGACCUUGAGCCCUCGGAUGCCCACACUAUUCAGACUAGUUCCUGAGGCGACAUCAGUACAGACAACCACUGUCGAGCCAUUGACUUUCCCACAUUACAACGUUCAGACGCCAUUCGUCUUGGUUCUAGAUGUUGAGGUGGUUCAGACUUGGUAUGUUAAUGUUUCUCAUACUCCCGAUGUACAGUAUAUUCUUUGUGGAGACAUGGUAUUAUGACAGCUGCUAGACUCUUGGAUGGGACAUCCGCUCCUGAGGAGGUCAGAAGAGAGGAUGAUGAGAUUCUGAGGCAAUUACAAAGCACACAGGCUCGUAUUUCUAUUUGGAAUUUGUUGGCAUCUUCCAACACUCAUAAAGAUGCAUUGACUAUAGCCUUGAGCCAGAUCAAAGUCGAGACUACCACUACUCCGGAGAGGUUGAUUCACAUGAUGAGGGCUGGUAGAGCCACUUGCAUAGUGUUUACUGUUGAUGACUUGCCUCCAAAGGGUUCGGACCAUACACGUCCACUGUAUAUCUCAAUCGGUUGUUCAGGCCACCGAGUCCCAUUUAUCCUUUUGGACAAUGGCUUAACCCUGAACAUUUGUCUUCUAGCCACUGCCAUCGCCCUUGGCUAUGCACCCUCUAACUUUGGUCCCUCCACUUAGACAGUCUAAGCAUAUGAUAGCACUAGGAGGGAGGUUAUGGGCACUUUGGAGAUUGAGUUGUUGAUAGGUCCGACCAUAUUUCCCCAUUUGUUCCAAGUUUUGAGGAUUCUUACAUCCUUUAACCUGUUAUUGGGUCGACCUUGGAUCCAUAGAGCUGGGGUCAUUCCUUCUUUCCUUCAUCAGAAGGUAAAGUUCAUUCAUGAUGGCCAGGUUGUCACUGUGCAGUCUGUCGGAGAUAUGUUUAUUUCUUCUGAACCAGUGCUUCAGAUCAGCCACAGUGAUGACGACCUAUUUCUGACUAGGUUCACAUUCAAUGAGGAGCAGACCCUGGAGAUGGAAGAUUUUUGCCAAGACUUCGUGGCUAUAUCGUUUGACUAGCAUGGUAGCAUAGUGGUACUCGACAUGAUGAAAAACAUGUCUUAUUUACCUAGCAUGGGGUUGGAGCGACGUCAGCACUGGCCCAACGAGUUUAUGGCUAUCCUAGAUCACGAUGUACCGUUCGGACUCGAGUUCUUUCUUACUAAGGUUGAUUAUCGAUAUAUGGCACGAUUGCGCAAGAAGAGGGUGAGGGCCCGAUUGACUGAUACACCCUUUGACUAUCUUGUUUACUCAUACACCAUGAGUUUGGCGGACUACUUUAUGAGGGCAUUGAAGCUACAGAAGCCUUCAGAUGGGAUCAUUGGGGGAUUUAGCACUGUUUAGGAGGCCAAGCUUCAACGUCUUGUCCAUAAGCUAUAGUUGAGUGAUGGAGCUCCAGGCAUUUCGGCGUCUGCAUUGGUCACCCUAUCAUCUUCAGAUCGUAUGAGCCUUAUAAAGCUCUAUUUCCCAGAUGAGAUCAAUGAGCACGGGACCUUUGUUGAGAUCGGAGAUGUAGUGGAUGGAGUUGUUCCACAUGACGAGUACAUUGAUGAGAUGCUCGUGCUGAGUAUGAGCCAGAUCAAUGAGAUAGUUCAGUCUGUUGCUGAUUUGUUUGAGGGCACUAUUGGCCCAGUUAAGGGAGCGUCUGACUUUGUGGAUCCACAUCUUUCAUUUGAUAUUUUAUCAGGAUUUGUCUCCCAUUUUGACGAUGUUCAUGACUCUUCAUUUAUGGAUUUGAGCAUUUUCGAGUAUAUGCUUGUCUUUUGUGAUAUUACUUUAUCCGCACCCUCUUUACCCACAUCACAAUAUUUGAUUUAGAUAAUGAGAUUGUACAGCAUGAUUCAGAUGAUGACUCAUCUUUUGCUUCUGAUUCAGGCCCCAUUUAUCAAAGAGUUUCACAUGUUAUAGGAGAUACUGAGGUUUUUGAUUUCGGUAUAGCAGAUCAGCCUAGGGAGCUGAGGAUUGGAGUGGAUUUAUCUACAGAUGAGAAAGAUAGCCUCAUCCAGCUGUUUAGAUCAUAUUUGGACGUUUUCGCAUGGUCUUAUGAGGACAUGUCAGGCCUUAAUCCAUCUAUCAUCCAACAGCGUUUUCCGUUUUUACCCCAUGUUAGAUCGGUUAAGCAAAAGUUGAGACGAUUACACCCUCCCUAGAGUUUAUAGGUGAAGGAGGAGAUUCAGAAGCAACUCAAUGUAGGAUUUUUAUCAGUGGUCGAGUAUCCCGAGUGGCUGGCCAAUGUCGUCCCUGUUCUAAAAAAAGACGACUAAGUGAAAGUUUAUGUUGAUUUUCGAGAUCUUAACAAGGCUAGUCCUAAGGAUGAUUUUCCUCUCCCACACAUUGACAUGCUAGUUGACAAUACGACAGGCCAUUCGAUGUUGUCCUUUAUGGAUGGUUUUUUUAGGUACAGUUAGAUUCUAAUGGCUCCCGAGGACAUGGAGAAGACGUCCUUCAUUACCGAGUGGGGUACUUAUUGCUAUAGAGUCAUGUCAUUCAGGUUAAAGAAUGCAAGAGCUACCUAUCAGAGAGCAUCGACCACCCUCUUCCAUGACAUGAUGCAUCGGGAUGUCGAGGUUUAUGUAGAGAUCAAAGGCUUCUUGGGUAGACUCCAGUACAUCAGCAAAUUCAUUGCCAGAUUGACAAACAUUUGUGAGCCCAUUUUCUGACUCUUAAGGAAGAGUCAACCUACUGUUUGGGAUGAUAAGUGCCAGUGCGCUUUUGAGAGGAUUAGAGAGUACUUGUUGUCACCUCCAGUCUUGGUGUCUCCUACAUCGGGCCAUCCUUUACUCCUAUAUCUGUCAAUCUCAUAUGUAGCCUUGGGAUGUAUGUUAGCUCAGCUCGAUGAUUCAAGAAAUGAGCAAGUCGUUUAUUAUAUGAGUAAGAGGAUACUAGAUUAUGAGAUGAGAUAUGUCAUGAUUGAACGCUACUAUUUGGCAUUGGUUUGGGCCACUCGCAAACUGAGACAUUACAUGACCAAGUAUCCAGUGCAUUUGAUAUCUUGUCUAGAUCCCUUGAGAUAUUUGUUUGACAAACCCGCUUUGGUCGGUCGCCUCAUUAGAUGGUUGGUACUUCUGAUUGAGUUUGACAUCCAUUAUGUCACUCAAAAGUCCAUCAGAUGGAGCAUUGUUGCAGAUCACCUAGCCUCAUUACCAGUUUCUGAUGGUAGAGCUAUUGAUGAUGAUUUCCCAGAUAAGGAUGUUGCUGUUGUGACCAGUCUGUCAGGUUGACGCAUGUACUUUGAUGGUACAACCAACCAUACUAGAUACAGGAGUGGUGUUUUAUUGAUACCCCAUCAUGGUGAUCACAUCCCUAAAUCUGUUCGUUUGGCAUUCUCGAAUCAACAUCCUGCCACAAAUAAUAUUGUUGAGGAUGAAGCCUGCAUCUUAGGAUUAGAGACAACUCUUGAGCUCGGUAUUAGACAGAUGGAGGUGUUUGGUGACUCCAACCUGAUAUUGAAAUAGAUUUAGGGCGAGUAGAAGACUAGAGAUGUGAAGCUUAGGCCUUACCACACAUACUUGGAGCUAUUAGUUGGGAGAUUUGAUGAUUUGAGAUAUACACAUCUACCUAGAGCACAGAACCAGUUCGUUGAUGCCCUGGCUACUCUAGCUUCCAUGAUUGAUAUUCUUACUGAUGCCAUUAUUCGCUCUUUACUGAUUGAGUCGAGAUUUGUUCUUGCAUAUUGUUGUCUGAUUGACGAGACAGAGUUAGAUGAUGGCUUACCUUGGUACCAUGACAUAUAUCACUUUUUGAGACUUGGAGCCUAUCCUGAGGCCUCCAUGGCCAAGGAUAAGAGAGCAUUGAGACAGUUAGUUGCUCGAUUUGUGGUGUGUGGGGAGACAUUAUACAGACGAUCAGUUGAUGGGAUGUUAUUAUUAUGCUUAGACCACGCAUCUGCAAAUCAAGUGAUGAGAGGGGUUCAUGCGGGAGUCUAUGGACCACAUAUGGGAGGGCAUAUGUUAGCUCAUAAGAUCAUGAGGACUGGCUAUUUCUAGUUGACCAUGGAGACAGAUUGCUGCCAGUUUGUCCAGAGACAUCUCGAGUGUCAGAUAUAUGGAGACCUCAUUCACGUGUCACCCUUAGAGUUACAUGCAUUGACUUCACCAUGGCCAUUUUCAGUAUGGGGUAUAGACAUCAUUGGGAAGAUUUCACCAAAGUCUUCUAAUGGUCAUGAGUUCAUCUUGGUCGCCAUUGAUUACUUCACCAAGUGGGUGGAGGCCGCCUCAUAUACGAGAUUGACAUCAAUUAGGGUUGCUAGUUUCAUCAAAUCACACAUUAUCUAUCGAUAUAGAGUCUCUCAUGAGCUGAUUUCAGAUAGAGGUGUACAUUUCAGGGCAGAGGUUGACACCUUGCUGCAAAGAUAUGGUAUCCAGCAUCAUACGUCAUUUGCAUACAGGUCGCAGACGAACGGGGUAGUAGAGGCCGCGAAUAAGAAUAUUAAGAAAAUCUUGCAAAAGAUGGUUGAGACUUCUCGGGAUUGGUCAGAAAAUCUCCACUUUGCAUUGUGGGCUUAUCGAACUUCUUUUCGCACCUCUACAAGAGCCACACCCUACUCCUUGGUGUAUGGUAUGGAAGCAGUGCAACCAGUUGAGAUUGAGAUGGGUUCAUUGAGGAUAACACUAGAGCAGCAUAUUUCAUAGGUAUAUUGGGCUCAGGUCCGAUUAGACCAGCUUAAUCUCAUAGAUGAGAGAAGAUUGAAGGCAGCAGACCAUGUUCAUGCAUAUUAGAGGAAGAUGGCCCGCACUUUCAAGAAAGAGGUCAAGCCUAGACCAUUACAGAUAGGUGAUUUAGUCUUGAAAGUCAUCAGAGGAUUGAUCAGAGAUCCUAGAGGAAAGUUCAGACCCAGUUGGAGCAAACCUUAUUUCAUUAGAGAGUUGACCCUAGAGGGCGCUGCAUGGUUGAUGGAUUUAAAUGGAAGCCAAUUCUCAGAGCUGACCAACGUGGAUCAACUAAAGAGAUACUAUGCUUGAGACCAUGGUUGCAUGAUGGGUGGCCAUCAUUUCGGUUAGCCAUACACCCUUUUACCAUUUUGAUAUAUAGACCGUUGCUAACCCAUUGAGCCUUGCAUGUGCAUUAUAACUUUUCUUUCUUAUUGCCUUGCUCACUUUUUGCACUGGGAUAAGAGCCCUUUAGUGUAUGUAUGCUCGGUUUAGGAGUUUCAUGAGCCUUGGACCUAUGGGCGCAUUUUUCUCAUUAUCUUUUCCUAACACUGUAUCACUACAUUUCAUCUCAUCUCAUUGGUUGUGUUCUUCAUCUUUUUCUUUGUUAUAUUAACUGCUUAUUCUGCAUCAUCACCUUCCAUCCCGAGUGGUAAUCCUUCUCAGUUCAUUACAUAAGAGGUAGUCAUGUCAUUCCCACUAUCUAUUUCACGGACAUUGAUCUAAGGAUCAUUAGUUUGAGCAGGUCAUCUUCUUAGAGAGAGUUUACGCUACUUUAACAUUUGAGAGUAUGAUUAUCCAUUUUUGACCUCAUCUUUGGAGCCUCUUUGUUUGCGUUUAGAGCAUGCACAUUUGUAUAUAUGUAAAAAAAAAUGAAAAAUAAUAAGCGCAUGCGUGUAGUAUUCUCCAUCAUUGAGCAUGUAUAUUGAUGUUCGAGGGUCAUUUUAUUGAGUAUGUUUUUACUGGAGUUCGUAUGCGAGCUUCCUGAGACCCUCCAUUUUAUGUAUUCAUUUUGUCGUAUAUUUUGAGAGUGAGAUGAGUGACUUUCUCUUAGGAGUUCUGGGUCAUUGGCUUUUCCAUCAUUACGUUCAUUGUUGAUGUGGCUUCCCUUCAUAUUUGAUUUGAGCGGAUCAUCACUACUUUUCAUGUUCUGCAUUUCACCAUUAUCCUCACUUUUGCUUUCGAUUCAUCAUCUUCAUUUUACCAUUUGUUCCUUCCUUACAACGACCCAUUCCAAGUUUGGUACUUCCUUUGCAUCAUCAUUACACAUCUCAGUAUCAGUUCGAUUUUCUGCAUUGCCUCAUUAUUAUCAUUAUAGCCACAUUGGGCAUCCUUAGGUCUAUGGCUCACGAGAUUUUCUAUACAUGUUGCAUUUUAUAUAUGAGGGCAUGGGUUUUCGAUCAUUGGGUAUUUGGGCCUAGUUUCCCUUCAUUUCUAUCACCUUAUCACCCUAGCCUACAUUACGUCCUGUGUUUUAAGACCACCCUGAGGCCAUGGGAUCAGAUUUCGUCUUCGACAACCCCCUCUUUGAUAGGUGCUUGAGAUUUGAUUGAUAUUUGGAUAUCGUCAUGCUUCUUCUUUUAGGAGACACCUCUUUGAUGUUUGGAUCUGAUUUAGCUGUGGAUUUGGAUUACUGGGAUCACAUGUUUGAUGAUGGAUGAUUUGACGUCACCUGAUUUUCUGAUCUAUCAUACGUUCGAGGCCAUACCGGGGCAUAUUCCGUUUCGGAUAAGAUUUACAUAUCUUCAUGGAGUUGCAUGCUCAUCCCCACUUAUGAGAUACACGCCGAGACGAUGACAUGUUUGUUAUCUUAUCAUGAUCCUCUAGUGAAGCCUUUCUUAAGCCAUUCAGUUAGACCCACACUUUUCGAUCUUUAGAUGUCAUCAUACUUCUUCUUCCGGGAGACGGAUUUUGACCUGUGGAUUUGAUUCAAUUGCGGAUUUAGAUUACUGGGAUCACGCAUUUGAUGAUGGAUGCUUCGAGGUCAUUCAAUUUUCUAACCUACCAAAUAUCUGAUUCCAUACUGGGGCAUAUUUCCUUUUCGAUUGAGAUCUGUAGGUCUCCAUGGAUUCGCAUGAUCAUUCCCAGUUACGAGAUACACAAUGUGCUAAGGAUUCGUUUUCAUUUUUUUCUUGAUUCUCCAUUGAAGCCUUCCUUUAGUCAUUCGGUUAAGCUCAUACUUUCUGAUAUUGUCAUGAAUUUUAGAUGGAUUUAUCUCAGGUGUGUAGAUUUCCACAUCAUCAUUUUAGGGGAGUAAAUGUCAGAUCUUUUAUACAUCUCCAUUGAGUUAUUCUCGAGUCAUCAUGACGAACUGGAUGCGCUAGUUGCUAUAUUGGGGCAUAUUUCCACCUUUUAGCUAUAGAGAUGAUUGUUUUAUCACAGGCCUAAUACAGUCUUCAAUACUCGGUCGAUGGAUACUUAUUUGCAUUAAUGGUCACUGUUUCGAUGAUUUUUUAAUUGAAAUGAGCUUUCAGCGGAGUGCGACAUUUGGGUUUUGAUCGUCCCACUAUCCAUGACUCUUCAGUAGAUUGUUAUGUUGAGAUUGUGGUAGUUACCCUAGCGAACUAUUCUCUUGAGACCCCCUAGUGGAUCAUUCAUUUGAGAUGAUGAUGGAUUUCCCCAAUAGAGCAUUUUGAGUUAGAGGAGUUUGACUUAUUGUGACACUUUAUCAGACCUUGUGACCUAGUCAGAUGGGUUUUGAGACUAUAUUUAUAGUCAAUUUGACCAUUCCGACUCGCUAGCGGAGCAUCUUUUGAGACUCAUGGAGUCUCUUUUAGACCCUUCUAGUGGAUUGAGAGUUGUGGCAGCACACUACACUGGGGCAUAUUUCCCUCUCAUCGUCUCCUCGCAUUUUUAGCUCGACGUUCAAAGCCACCAUGUCUUCUCAGUUAUAACGUUCAGAUUCGUCUCUCUCAGCUGGACAUUCAUAGAUAUCAGUUCACAGUUGGGCGUUCAGAGCCACCAUCUCAUUACAGUUUGGCGUUUAGAGCCGUUGUUUCCACUUGGCAUUCAGAGUCGUUGUUUCCACUUGGCAUUCAUAGCCAUUGUUUUAGCUUGGCAUUUAGAGUCACCCCAUCAUCUCCUCAUAGGUCUUAGCGUUCAGAGCCACUACCUCUUUCUUAGUUUCGGCGUUCAGAGCCACCAUCUCUUCUCAAUUUUGGCAUUCAAAGCCACCAUCCCUUCUCAUUUUUGGUGUUUAGAGCUGUUUUUUGUUUAUAGUUCGACAUUCAUAGCCAUCGUACCUCUUUUUCAAUUUGGCAUUCAGAGCUGCAUCUUCAUUUUGGCGUUCAAAGCCACCGAGACUUUUUAGUUUGGCAUUCAGAACCACCAUCUUUUUUUCGAUUUGGCAUUCAGAGCCGCAUCUUCAUUUUGGUGUCUAGAGCCGUUGUUUGCUUCUAGUUCAUCAUUCAUAGCCAUCAUACCUCUUUUUCAGUUUGGUGUUUAGAGCCGCAUAUUCAUUUUGGCGUUUAGAGCCGUUGUUUGUUUCUUGUUUGACAUUCAGAGUCAUCAUCUCUUCUUUCCGUUCGACGUUCAGAGUUGCAUCUUCAUCUCGACAUUCAAAACCAUAUCUUCAGUUUGGCGUUCAAAGCCGUUGUUUGUCUUUGGUUCGACGUCCAGAGCCGUAUUUUCUGUUUGGCGUUCAGAGUCGUUGUUCAUUUUAGUUCGGCAUUCAGAGCCACACCUUCAGUUCAGCGUUUAGAACAGUAUUUUAUGUUUGGCGUCCAGAGUCAUUGUUCAUUUUCAGUUUGGCGUUCAAGGCCGUCGUUUUUUUUUUUUAGUUCGACGUUCAGAGUCAUCAUGUCUUUCUUCUAUUCACUAUUCAGAGUCACAUCUUCAUCUUGGUGUUUAGAGUCACGUUUCCAGUUAGGCUUUUAAACCCGCAUCUUCUGUUUGGCGUUCAGAGCCAUGUCAUCAGUUUAGCAUUUAGAGCCAUUAUUCAUUAUUGACAUUCAGAUCCGUUGUUUCGUUUGGCAUUCAGUGCCACCAUCUUUCUUUAGUUUUGGCGUUCAAAGCCAUUAUGCAUACUCAUUGAGGCAUUUGAUACCACCAUCAUUCUUUAGUUUUGGCGUUUAGAGCCAUUGUGUAUACUCGUUUAGGCUUUUAGAGUCACCAUUCUUUCCUCCAUUUUGGCAUUCAAAGUCAUUUUCCUUACCUUGUUACUUUGUCCUUAUUGCUUGUUCAUCAUGCUCUUCUAGACUUCCCAUUCCACUACACAUGACAUAGUCAUUUGAGUUCGAGACACAUAUUUCGGCCAUGUUGUUGGGCACCCUACACUUAGCAUUCUUAUGUAGUUCACAUAGGGUAGUCCCAUUUGACGCAUUCUUUCUUGUACUCUAGGGUGGUUCGACCGCUACUCAUCUUUGACAUUGACUUUCGAGUCACUUUUGGAGAUGUCUUAGAGGGAGUCUAGGUCAUUGGUACAACUUUAGAGGCGCUUUGAGAUAUACUUUUCUCAUAUGAUUAGAGUUUUUUUGUUCAUCUGUUGGCCUGAGUGAGUUCAUGUUUUUCUAGUGUCCCUUUAGGGGUCUCCUUGAUUCUUCGGUAGAGUUCAUUUCAUUCCACCCACUAUUCACAUUUUAUUUUCACUACAGUGUUCAUAUUCCUUACACUUGUGAGCUUUACCGAAGAAGGGCAUAUUUGUAUACCCCGAUUUUGGGGCUCAUUUGUAGCAGUUUAUCUUUCCAGGUAGAGGGCUCUUAAGGAGCCACGUGUUGCCUCAAGAGAGGCUAUUAAAUAAUCAUAUUAGUGAGUAGAGAAUGCAAUGGGGAAAAGACAAGUGUUGAGGGAAUGUUCUAGGGAGAGCAUAUUCUUUUAGAUAGGGACAAUGAGGCUAUUAGAGAGGGAGAGGUGAUUUGGUUGUUGCUUACAGAGAUGUUUUAGGAUAAAGGGAGAAGGGGGAGAAGGGAAGAGAACCUGAGGAGAAAGAUAGUUAAAACAGAAAGGCAAUGAGCUAUAGGAAGAAAGAAGGUUGCAAGGUUGAUAGCUUGAGGAGCAAACUGGUUUGGGAGGAAGGACUGAGAGAAACAAGUCGGGUAUUCUAGAGAUAGUGGGUAUAAGAGGAUAGCUAGACGUUGCUUGAGGAAGGAAAAGAAAACUUGAAAGAAUUUUUUCUAGGUUCGUUUGUUGUAGCUUCUUGGAUUGCUUUUACUCAUCACUCUGUUUUCUUAUAUCUUUCAUUCUCUCUGGUUGUCUCUGGAUUUCUAAGCAUCGAUCAAUUGUUUGGGCAUGGGUAUGAUGUUGUAUUACACUUUUCUCAUAUUUGUUUAUCUGAAUAUGGCUCACUCUCAUAGUAGGAGUUUGUUGAUGCUUUCAUUUUGAUAUUUGUUAUGAACUAUCUUACUGCACCACUGGUCGACGAACCCUUGGAUUUCAAUAUGAAAAGGGAUCCCAUUUAAUGUUCUACUCACUCUGUUUACUUGGUUCUGGGUAAGUUGUAUCCUGUUUUGCACACUUCUUUACUCCCGGUACCUCAAUUCAUAUCCCCUUUUAUGGCUUAUAUAUCUUCGGAUUUGCUCUAAACGAUUGGUUGUGUGUUUUGAUCUGUGCUUGAGGAGAGAGGGUUGUGUGUUGGCUUACUACUCCAGAUCCGUGACCCCAAUAGAUGAGAUGUAUACAUGUGUUAUAUUAGCUGCUAUUUUGGCUAUUGGGUUUGCCACUAAUGCAUUUGGGAUCCAAGUUCUAUGUAAUUGGUUUUUCCAUGGGUGGACAGGUGAUUUGGAGUUGCCUCAAGUAUAUCCUUCACAAGUUGGCAAGUGCAACACUGAUAGCUCCAAUGGUCAACUACUUUUGGCCUAGUUUUCCUCCAAACUUAUCUAAAGAAGCCUACUACCAAUAGUUUUGACAGGAUCAGUGGGCGCUUCGUGUUGCUCACUACACACCAUGGCUUACCUACUGGUGGAACACUCAAAAGUGGUUUCCUGCUUGUAGUGUUGCAGAACACACCACUGAUAUUAUUUCUCACCAAGACAAAAAGCUCAUGCUUAAGCUUUCAAAGAAAAUGGAAUAUAUGGCACAUGUGAGACAACAAGAAGAAUUUGAGUCUACCCAUCGUGACUUGAUGAUAGGAUUUAGAACUUGGGAAUUUGAUCCCAUGGAUCUGAAGAACCCAUUCCCAAAUAAUGAAGGUUCUGUCCACCUAUGGCAUGGAGAUGAAUAUGCAAUUAUGCUUGUUUCACUGCAACGCUACAUUGCCCAACAACUCCCAUGGAUCAUAUUUGUAGAUAUCCAUCUGCUUGAAUAGCUCAAUGGGUAGAGACCUCUGUUGAAUCUUCCUCUUUAGGUAGAACCUCACAAGCUCCUCAUCUAUGGGAUGAAACCUGAAGCCAUGCAGCAUGACAUCAUCCAUUUUAUCAGCAUCAUUCCUCUCAUCCAUCAUCCCUCUUUUUCCCUGAUUUCCUCAAACUCGACUAGGAAUUAGAAUCAAUGAACUCUCUAAGGUGAUAUGGUAGUGAGCUUUUUGGAAAACUAACACCAACCCAUCAAUGGAAAUUACAAUUCACUUAAUUCAAAGCCACUAUAUGCCUCUUGAUAAGGAGCUUGACUGUGCAGCUUGAGCCGGGUUUUAUGGUGGUUGUAGUGUUUAUCAGCAAAUAUCACGAUGACUUGGUGAUGAGAACAGUUGAAGGAAAGCUUUGUGAAGAACAUCUAGUUACAAGAGAGAAGUAUUCAAAGAAGAGGUUAGAUUCAAGAAAAAACGAAGGAAUGAGUCCCAAGUUUCCUUCCUUGAAGCUUGAAAGUAAAAAUCUAGUGGACGAAUCUUUGAAAGCUAAUGAAAAUGAAGAAAAAAAAUCCAAGAAAGGUGAUGGUGAUAAGGUGAGAGAGGGGAUGGAGAAAGGAUCUAAGAAAAAUGAGGUGGAUUCUCAGAAAGGGUUGUUAAGAGUUGGACUAGACAUGUGCUAAAAAAAAUGGGGAUGUUAUGGGUGCGCUUGAUCUGUAUGAUUUGGCUAUAAGGAAAGGAAUUGAAUUAGGGCAGUAUCACUACAUUGUUCUUUUGUAUCUUUGUUCUUUAGCAGCACUUGGUGUUAUUCGACUUGCAAAAAGUGGAAUUGGUAGCCGGAGUUUGGACAUGUUGAGCCCUUCUAGUGAAGUUUGUGGUGGGGUUUCUGAGGAUUUGGUAGAAUUUGGGGACACGAGCAAGAAGAAUUCUGAAGCAUUUGAAGUAGAAAAAGAUGAUUUGGAUGGUAGUUUCAUUAAAAUGGACAAGUUAUCCUAGGUCUUUAAUUGCUUUAAUCAGUCAAAUAGUCAACUUUUGGAAGGUCAAAAGCAUUUAAGAAAGAGUGCUGAUGACUCCACAAAUAUAAAAGAAGAUAAUGAAAUUUGGGUAAGUGAAGAUUUCAAGAAGUAUGCACUCCGGAGUCGAUUUGAAAUCUAUGAGAAGAUGUGUUUGGAAAGGGUCCCAAUGAAUGAAGCAAACCUUGACAUCGGUGGUGAGAAUGACAAUAUCCAUGGGUAAUGGUGACAUCGCUUUUGAUAUGGUAAAGCAAACGAAACCACUAGGGAUAAAUCCUAGAUUGUGGUCUUAUGGUUCUGUACUUUCUGCUUUCUGUAACAAUGGAGAUAUUAAGAAAGCAUUUGGUGCUGAAGAACGCAUGUUGGAGCAUGGUGUCUAUCCUAAAAAGCCAAGUUAUAUGCCAAGUUUACUAUAACAAAAGCAACCUGAUGAACAGAUGUCUUCCCUUGUAGCCAUGCCAUCGUCCUUGGCUGCACAGAAAUUUCUUCCAAAUGUAGUCUCUGUUGGUCUUUUCCUAGGAUCGAUGCACAUACCAUCUUUUGUUCAACUAGCAAACCAAUAACCUGCACUGCAUUUGCCUACAACUAUCGGCCUUGGUGAAAAAUCACCCCCAUGUCACAAUGCCAAUGAUGCAGGGAGUUGCUAGGUUUCGUUCCCAGAUGGGCACCAAUGUCAAGGGGAUAGAAUGAUCCAUUUUUUUAGGCUGACCGGCGAUAAAUAGCCAAACAAGCAGCUGCCUCUAAGCGAGUACAUCCAGCAUUGCAUUUGCUUGCCAAUUCACUUCCAUCAGCCCAAGUUGUUGGGUUGCUUACAAAUUCAUUCACAAUUGGUGCACUGACUGCACCAUAAUAGACAUUUGCUCAACUUCAUCUGGUAGUGGGUUCUCACUUUUUUGGUAUUUCAUCUUCUGCUCCAUAUGUCAUCCGCCUGCAUCCAAACUUCUACCAAGUCACCUUUGUUGACCCCACAUGUAGACUAUACAAGUCUAUGGUUUGAGUUUGAGGCAAAUUUUUUUCGAAUUUGAUGAUUCUGAUUCAGAGGAAGGUCUCCUAACCGAUUCAUAGGAUGGCAAAGUUGACACAGUAGCACUUCGAGUUUCAUUCCUGCAUGGUUAUCCCUCACCAUCUCUCCCACUUAUGCACAUAUGCAUGGCCACUUUUGGGCCACGUGUCACUCUUCCAUUUCUUCAUCCUUGCUUUUUUAAAAAAUAGUUUCUCAAACCCCAGUUUGCCAAUAAUUUUCCAAAUUCUAGUUUUUCAAAUAAUUUUAAUUCUUCAAAUUUUAAUUCUUAGAAUUUUUAGGUCCCAAAAGUCCCGUUUUUCAAUAUAAAUUUGUUGCCAUUUUCUUUGAUGGGGGAAAUUUUCACAUUUUCUUUUAUUUUUAAAAUGUUUUGAAAUAAACAUGGAUUUAAUUCCGAAUAAUGGAUAUUCAUGGGAUUAAUUCAUGCAAAAAUAAGUCGGGCUUUGGAGGAGGCAAUUUUCACAUUUUCUUUUAUUUUAAAAAUAUUUUAAAAUAAGCAUGAAUUUCUUUUUUUUUUUUUUUAAUUCCAAGUGAUGGAAUUUAUGGAAUUGAUUCAUGCAAAAAUAAAUCAGGCUUUGGUGGGGGUCCAAUUUAUGUGAUUUUCUCAUUGAUUGAUUGCUAUGCAUGAUUGACUUAUUCCACUCUAUGACAUGCAUAUGAUUAUGCUGUGUUUGUUUACUAAUCCUUAUUUUCCAUGAAGAAAAUCAACUCAUCACUCAGGUACACUCUUUCCCUCUCUUGUUCAUUCCGUUAUUAUGUUUUGAUUGAUAUUCAUUCGGUAUCCAUAUUUGAUCAAUCAAUUGUCAUACUUGCUUCAUCUCAUAAGUAGAGACCCGUUUUUAGGGACUUAGAGGGGUGCUACGGUCUUUACCGUACUUUCCUAAUAAGUAACCUAACCCCCGAGCCUAGAUUUGUUUUUUCACAGACCACCUUUUCCAAAAUAAAGAGUCACACUUAAGGUUUUCUUUCUUAUUUUGUUUACCCUUUAAAUAUAAAACAAAAAUAAGUGGCGACUCCAAGUCAUUUUCUAAAAAAUAAAUCAUUUUUAAAUAAAAAAUGAGUUCGUCAUCGAGUGAAAAUGCAUAAGCAAAAAUGCGGGGUCCACAAAAUGGUGACUCCACUAGGGAUCACUAGAAGGAUUUAAUUCCGAAUAAUGGAAAUCCAUGGGAUUAAUUCAUGCAAAAAUUAAUCGGGCUUUGGUGGGGACAAUUUUCACAUUUUCUUUGAUUUUAAAAAUAUUUUAAAAUAAGCAUGAAUUUAUUUUUGUAAUUCCAAGUGAUGGAAUUUACGGAAUUGAUUCAUGCAAAAAUAAAUCAGGCUUUGGUGGGGGCCCAAUAUAUGUGAUUUUCUCAUUGAUUGAUUGCUAUCAUGAUUGACUUAUUCCACUCUAUGACAUGCAUGCGAUUAUGUUGUGUUUGUUUACUAAUUUUUGUUUUCUAUGAAGAAAAUCAGCUCAUCACUCAGAUACACUCUUUGCCUCUCUUGUUCAUUCGGUUAUUUUGUUUUGAUUAAUAUUCAUUCGGUAUCCAUAUUUGAUCAUACUGUUUGCAGGGACUUAGAGGGGUGCUACGGUCUUUAUCGUAUUUUCCCAAUAAGUAAACUGAUCCCCGAGCCUGGAUUUGGUUUUUCAAAUAUCACCUUUUCCAAAAUAAAGAGUCACACUUAUGGUUUUCUUUCUUAUUUUGUUUAUCCUUUAAAAAUAAAACAAAAAUAAGUGGCGACUCCAAGUCAUUUUCUAAAAAAUAAAUUAUUUUUAAAUAAAAAGUGAGUUCACCAUCAAGUGGAAACGCAUGAGCAGAAAUGUAGGGUCCAUAAACAUGUUUGAUUUUUAAAUAAUAAUAAUAAUAAUAAUAAUAAUAAUUAUUAUUAUUAUUAUUGGAAAAUGGUGUAUUUUUUUCCAAAUCACUAAAUUAAAUUAAAUUUUAUUGAGAUUUACAAAAGGAAUAAAAUUUAAAUUAAUGUUUUUCUACUCUUUUUUUUUUUUUCAUAGUCAAUAAAAGUCAUUUUUGGAAAUAUAAAAAAUUCAUAUCCUUGUUCUCAAUUUUCACACUUUAUCUAAGUCUUGGGCUUAAAUGGUGAAUUAGGUCUCAUUUUCACACCAAAACUUAAUUUUUUGGUCCAAAUAGGUCAAAAACACCAUUUUUCCCAUAUUAUAUUGGGAAGCACAGUCUGCUUUAAUUAAAUUUUCUUAGGACAAUGAUUCUUAAGAGUAUGGCUCAAUCUUUGACUGAGAUGUGUUUGUUUACUAAUUUUUGUUUUCCAUGAAGAAAAUCAGUUCAUCACUCAAGUACUCUUUGCCUCUCUUGUUCAUUCGAUUAUUUUGUUUUGAUUGAUAUUCAUUCGGUAUCCAUAUUUGAUUAGACUGUUUGCAAGGACUUAGAGAGGUGUUACGGUCUUUACCGUACUUUCCCAAUAAGUAACCUGAUCCCCGAGCCCGGAUUUGGUUUUUCAAAUACCACCUUUUCCAAAAUAAAGAGUCACACUUAGAGUUUUCUUUUUUAUUUUGUUUACCCUUUAAAAAUAAAACAAAAAUAAGUAGUGACUCCAAGUCAUUUUCUAAAAAAUAAAUUAUUUUUAAAUAAAAAGUGAGUUCGCCAUCAAGUGGAACCGCAUGAGUAGAAAUGUAGGGUCCAUAAAGAUGUUUGAUUUUUAAAUAAUAAUAAUAAUAAUAAUUUUUUUUUUUUUUUUUUUGGAAAAUGGUGUAUUUUUUUCCAAAUCACUAAAUUAAAUUAAAUUUUAUUGAGAUUUUCAAAAGGAAUAAAAUUUAAAUUAAUGUUUUUCUACUCUUUUUUUUUUUUAUAGUCAAUAAAAGUCAUUUUUGGAAAUAUAAAAAAUUCAUAUCCUUGUUCUUAAUUUUCACACUUUAUCUAAGUCUUGGGCUUAAAUGAUGAAUUAGGUCUCAUUUUCACACCAAAACUUAAUUUUUUGGUCCAAAUAGGUCAAAAACACCAUUUUCCCAUUUUAUAUUGGGAAACAUAGUCUGCUUUAAUUAAAUUUUCUUAGGACAACGAUUCUUAAGAGUAUUUCUCAAUCUUUGACUGAGAUGUGUUUGUUUACUAAUCUUUGUUUUCCAUGAAGAAAAUCAGCUCAUCACUCAGAUACACUCUUUGCCUCUCUUGUUCAUUUGAUUAUUUUGUUUUGAUUGAUAUUCAUUCGGUAUCCAUAUUUGAUCAGACUGUUUGCAGGGACUUAGAGGGGCAUUAUGGUCUUUACCGUACUUUCCCAAUAAGUAACCUGAUCCUCGAGCCCGGAUUUGGUUUUUCAAAUACCACCUUGUCCAAAAUAAAGAGUCACACUUAGAGUUUUCUUUUUUAUUUUGUUUACCCUUUAAAAAUAAAACAAAAAUAAGUGGCGACUCCAAGUCAUUUUCUAAAAAAUAACUUAUUUUUAAAUAAAAAGUGAGUUCGCCAUCAAGUGGAAACGCAUGAGCAAAAAUGUAGGGUCCAUAAAGAUGUUUGACUUUUAAAUAAUAAUAAUAAUAAUAAAUUUUUUUUUUGGAAAAUGGUGUAUUUUUUUCCAAAAUCACUAAAUUAAAUUAAAUUUUAUUGAGAUUUACAAAAGGAAUAAAAUUUAAAUUAAUGUUUUUCCACUCUCUUUUUUUUCAUAGUCAAGAAAAGUCAUUUUCGGAAAUAUAAAAAAUUCAUAUCCUUAUUCUCAAUUUUCACACUUUAUUUAAGUCUUGGGUUUAAAUGGUGAAUUAGGUUUCAUUUUCACACCAAAACUUAAGUUUUUGUUCCAAAUAGGUCAAAAACACCAUUUUCCCAUUUUAUAUUGGGAAGCACAGUAUGCUUUAAUUAAAUUUUCUUAGGACAAUGAUUCUUAAGAGUAUGGCUCAAUCUUUGACUGAGCUUGAACAAAAUCCUUCAACUUGCAGCCACACUGAGUUCCUAAUUCCGAUAGGAUUGGCAUGCAUGGAAACAUGAGCAAGUAGUGAAGUAAACCACGUACGGGUCUUCUUCAAUAUGGAGAGAAAUGUUUUAUUAAUUUCUUGGAACCCUUUCCCACAAGUAACUUAAAGGGAGUAGCUAAAAUAUUAGUUCAAUUUUUUUUUUGUCUGAUGCUGUUUUAGAAUAAUGGCCUUUACACCAGGCUAGGGUAAGGAAUAUUUUUGCACUAUCAUUCUUCUGAGGAAGUUCUAUAGAUAUGGUAGGAUGUGGAUGUAUAAAGAUACGUGGGACCUGACUUUCAGCAGAGAUUCAUGCACAAGGAUAGCCUUCUUUGAGUAGAAAGCAAGCAAAUUAAACAAAGUACAGGAAAAUCCAUUUCUUCAUUUUUCUCUUCUGCCAAGCAAGCAUAUAUUCCCAACAAAAACAACCCCUACACACCUCUCUAAAAUAUCUUCAUUCGUCAGUUGAAAUGCAACAAUUUAUUAUAAACUAGAGGCCAAGGAAUCAUCUUUAACUCGUAUCAAACUGUUUGCAGUACCCACUUUAUGGCCACCCCACUUUUGCCCCGUUUUCCUUUUCCCUAUUAUGGCCUCUACUGUCUCAAGCAGCUGCUUUUAUGGCUAUCUCCCAAGUGUAUUUAUGGAGGGUCGCUGAAGCAGACAACAUUCUCAGUUGAAGUUGGUGCUGCUUUGUUGCUAUGGACCCAAGAAAACACUCUACUAGAAUGUUCAAUAUAGUUGUGUUCAUCUUCAUUUCAGUCACCACCCUGAUUAUAAGUACCCCAUGUGGUAAUUAAACAUAUUUUCCUUUCAAUUUUAGUGCAUGUUUAAUUUACUAAUUAAUGUUGAUGAGUAUGUUAUAAGUUUUGUUUCUUCUGGUGCAGAUGCAAGAAGUUCAGCACAAAUGUUGGAGGUUGAAGGUGAGGAGUUUGGUGAAAGUUCAGUCACUGGGGGGAGGAAGAUGCAACAAGUAGCAGUAAACUUGGAGAAUACUGACUCAUACAUAAGCUCUCCAUUUUCUCUACCACCUUUUGAUUCAUUGUCACCACUUCCCUCACCAGAGACAGCCCCUCCCUUUUGUGUUUGCCCACCAUUUUCCCCACAGCCACCUUCCAUACCCACUACUCCACCCAUAUUCCAAGGCCCUCCUACACAUUCCCCAGUUCCAAAUCCUCCUGAAUAUGAGCUGCCUAGUCCCCCCAAGCAUGCGCCAAGCUCACCGAAGCGCGCUCCGAGCCCGCCAGUCUUUAAGCCUCCGGUGGUUCUACCACCACCAUCUACACCGCCUCCACUACAUAAGGCACCCCAGUAUGCUGUUUGGUGUGUCGCAAAGCCGACGGUGCCUGAUCCCAUAAUUCAGGAGGCCAUGGACUAUGCCUGCGGAAAAGGUGCAGACUGUGAAGCAAUUAAGCCCGACGGGUUAUGCUUCCAACCCAAUACAUUGUUUGCGCAUGCUUCAUAUGCUUUCAAUAGUUACUGGCAGAGGACUAAGGUGGCUGGUGGCACCUGCGACUUUGGAGGAACUGCAAUGCUUGUUACAGUUAAUCCAAGUAAGUUCAACUACUGCCUUCAUCUUAUGAGUACUAGCCUUAAGUCCCAACAAUUCCAUUCAAUACUCAUGAUUUUCUUGGGUAGACAUGAUUCUAAGUUGGGUCAGCUAUGGAACCAAAAGGCGUCUCCUCUGUGUCACACCAAAAACACAAGAUCAAUCGAGUAGUCCUAUAUAUAUGUGUCUUAAUUAUUAUUAUUUUUUACUUUAAUCUUAUUUGUUCCUAAUUAACUUAAUUUGGUCUAUAUUUUGUAUCAUUAUUUAAUGGAUCAAAUUUCACUAUACACUUUAAACGACCCAAAUAAAAAGUUAGAAUGAUAUAACAUUUUUUUUCUUUCGACUUUUUUGGAUUAGCAAGUUAAAUUUGAGGGUCCAACUGUAACAUCAGAGAGGUACCCAUCCAAAAGCGUAGUCAGUCAUAUCAUAUCAUAUCAUACUGUAUUUAAGUCUUAUUGUUAUGUAUCUGGAUCUCACUCAAUCAUAUUUAAUCACAUUCUUUAUGUCUUAAUCUCAUUAUUUGUACCUUCAUUUAAUAAUUUAAAUUAUUUUACUUACUUUUAAUGAUAAAAAUUAAGAGUUAAAUUGGGGUGACUUUUUUUUCGAAGCACAAGCCCAGCUCAUACAAUUUUAAGUAUGUAGUUUGAUUUGAGUCUGAUCUUUGAUAUAUAAUGCCUUGUUGCAGGUUUUGAUGAAUGCCAUUUUGUCUACAAUUGAUGAGUAGUGGUGAAGACAAUGCCUGAUUCCAGAGGGUAUAUGAAUAAUGCAAUAAAAUAGGUGUGUGGGUGGUUGUCAUGGUUUUUGCAGCCAAACAUGUAAAAGUAUUUUGAUAGAUGGAUUCAGUUUGGAUUUUGGAAUAUAGGAUCCCUACGCAACAUCUACUUAUUCUCUUGCCUUAAUUUUGUAAUCUAAAUUAUUACAUAAUACAUGAUGUUGAUGGUUAAGCUGGAUCUUAAUACAAUAAUUUAUUUAUUUUUUUGAGAAUUUAUUUGGACCUAUGUUAUAUACCAUCACCUUAUUUUAUCAAUUUUUUUUAAAAUAUAAAAUAAUAUAUUGGUGAAAUUACCCUCUUACCAGUUUGUUCAACGUGCCUACAACUACCCAAAAUUCUAACCUUAUUUUCACUUCAAGUUUAGUUCAUUUUCCUUGGGAAGAGGGCAAAAAGGUCAUUUCACAUAACUUUUAAUAUUAGAAAAUUAAAAACAAAUUCUCCUCGAUUAACCUUUCUAAACCCCAUGAAAUGACCUAAAAUAAUAAAUAAUGCUCUCUUUCACCCAUUUUGGUUAUUAAAAAAGGAAAAAAUAUAUAUUAAAGAAACAAUUCAAUUUUAUUAUGAAAAAUAAUAAAAAUAAAUAUAAUUAAAAUUAAUUAUAAAUUUAUGUAUUAUUAUUUAAUUUUCACAUAAAAAAAAUAAAAAAAAUGAAAUGAAUUUGAGAUAAUAUAUAAAAAUAAUUCUUUUACGUACCAGUAAGUUUGAUAAUUUACAUUUAUUAUUGGAUUUAUAAUUAUAAUUAUUAUGAUUAAUAGUCAAAGGUUCUUUUAAUCAAAUUUUAGUUAUUAUGAAAUAAGAUUAAGGUGCUAAUGAUUUAAAUCAAAUUAAGGUUUUUUAUAACAAUUUGUAAUAUAGUAUUUAUUGGUACACUUAGGCUUAAAAAGUUGAUUUUAUUAAGAAAAUGAAUAAAUCUUUGUUUUAAUUCAAAGUCUUCAAUUAUAAAUGAGUUUACAUAUUCCUUCUCUUAAUAUUUUUAAUUUAUGAUUACACUGCUUCUCUUAUUUAUUUAUUUAUUGUUUAAAAAAAAUUAACACCCAAUUUACGCAUGGGGGUGAUUUACUUAAUCAAAUUAAUUGUUUGUCAUAAUUAUUAUUAUUUUGGGAAAUAAUCAUGUGAUUGUAUAUGCACUCUAUCUUUAUACAAGAAAUUAGAUUUUUCAUAUCAUGAUCCCAUUUUGUGGCAUCUAAAUUCUAUAUUUUUUUAUAUUGUUAUUUAAUAAUUUAGAUUAAUUAGUUAUGCAUGUUAAGAAAUUGAAUUAAAGACGUUGAAUAUGAUAUAAAAAGCCACAAUACAAUAUUUCUUGUCCCACAAAUUUAAUAGAAAUCUUUUCUUUCCAUGAACUUUUUAAGAAAAUACACCCAUUUGCUAAGUUGAUAAUUUAGUCAAAUAGGUGCAUCAUGGGCCCAUUGAACUUAGUCCUUCUACUACAGCUAAUGAUAUUGGUUUUUAGUAGAGGUGCAGAGAAUCAAGCCGAACCAAACAAAAAUGCUCGGCAGGUGGAGAUGGGAUCGAUGUUACCAUUUUUUUCUAAAGACAAUUGAUUGGAGUCUUGCAGAGGGAGACAUAACCAUUUUACUAUGUGUCUCAAGCUUGGCUGUAUCCUACAAUCUUUUAUUUUAGUCAAUUCUUCCAAAUUUCCAAAUCUGAGUGCUGCGAGAUGUGGUUUGAGUUUGAAAACUAGAGGGUCUUUGACCGAUUCAGACCUAGUUUGUCGCAGUGGUACUCAGCCGAUGGCGCAAAAAGGUCAAGAUAUUUCUUUCUUUCUUGUCCUCUUUGCCUCGAGAUUCAGGCUUUCCUUCCUACCAGGGUACGAACCGAGGAAAAGGAGAAUUUGCUGAAGCGUGACUGGGCCUAAAAUAUGUCAAAUGUGGAAGAAAAUGUAAAUAGGAGGUGAUUGAAAGGUAGACAAAUUUUAAGCACAUUUGUUUAAAUCUUUUUUCGUCUACUCUUACUUUUAUUUUUAUUUUUCUUUUAUAAAAAAAAUCAUCAAAGGGAAAAAGAAACCAAAGCAUUGUAAAGGGUAAGGCAGAAAUAAAUUAUGAAAAUAAAUAUGUAAAUUACGAAAAGAUGAUACAAAUUCAAGAAUUUUUAUUAAAUUAAUAUUGAAUUAUCAAUUUUCUUAAAAAUUAAAGUUUUUGAAAAUUUAAAAAAAAUUAAUAAUAAAACAAUUAAAAGUGAAUAAAAAGAAAGAAAAGAAAAAUGAGUAGUUAAACAAUUAAAAAUGAAUAAAGAGAGAGGAUGGUUAGUGUAGAGACAUCAUGUAAUAAAAUCAUAAGAAUGGUGUCCUGCCUACAUAGAUCACAUGCCACAACCAUGCAAGGAUUGAUCACCAUUAUCAUAAUAUGACUUUGUAUAACACAUGAUCCACCCAUCAAUUAUAUAAUGAUCAAAUAAGAUAUCAAAAACAACUCUUCCUUCCAUUUCGUUUUGUAAUUAACCUGAUCGUCGGAGAUGGAUCGACCUAAUAAAUCCAUUCAUUUUUCAUCUUUCCUGUUGAUCCUCAUAAGGAAGACAAGUGGGUUUUAAAGUUUUGCUAAAAGUUAAAUCCCACCAUUCCAAGGUGUAAGCUGGUCAGUCAAAUUUGGCAUCCAAAGCUCAUAUUUACGUUGUAUUCAACUUCACGUAAAGAAAUAUUUCUUACUAAGGAUUGUUCUAGCAUUAAUAAACGUGUUCUUAAAUGAUAAGGGCGAGUGAGUUUAGAGUUUAGAGUUUAGAGUAGGUAAUGGGUAGUGUCGUGCUGUCAUGCAUUAUUAAUCAUCAACUUGAUUGGAUGGUGGUCAAAUUUAUCUGAUUUAACUUUCUUAAAUUGUGAGUGUUGCUUUCUUUAUGUAUUUUUCUGGUAGGCUGGUGUGCUUCUAGUUCUACCCAAUUCAUGUGGUCCUAACUUUUUCCCUCAAAAUUGGCUUUAAUAUCGCGGUGUCAAGUUGUCAACAAAAGGCAACCGAUAACGCGGAAUAUAGUACACAAAAUAAUAGAGACACUUUGGCACUAAACCCUAUACAAGAAAGGACGAACGUAAUUAAUUAGCCUAUUUUAAUUUUUUUUUAAUGUUUGGAUAUAAUGAAUUUUUAUAUUAAUGUAAAAGCUUUCUGAAACUUAUGCUAAAUAAGAUAGUAGUUUUUUUUAAAACGGUUUAUAAAAUUGAGAUGUUAAAAAAUAAUUAUUACUUUAAAUUUAUUUUUAUUUUAAAAAUAUAAAAUGUGAAGUCUAUCUUAAUUAAUGGAAGAUGAUGCUGGAAACUAAUAAACACAAAGUAAGUUUAAUCUGCAAGGAAGAGUACAUUUAGCCCUUUGGUUGUACAGGACUUAUAUAAAUUAAUUAAGUUCCAUUGUUGAAGGAGGAUGGCUCCAAGUGUAGGAAGAGUGUAAAUACUUUAUUUAUUUAUUUAUUUAUUUUUUUGGGGAAGAGUCCUAUUGGGAAUUAUUUUUAUUUUAUUUUACCUUAUUUUAUUCCAUUAGUCUUAUAUUUUUGGAAAGAGUCUUAUUGAGAUUGUGCUAGUGGAGUCUCGUUCCUUUUAUAAGUAGAAUCAUCUUCUAUUUUGAGUUUUAUUCUAAUUACAAGUAGAUUCCCGUUGGGAUUGUGUUAGUGACCUAUAAAAGCAGGUCACACCCAUCACUCUCUAUAUAUGAAUACCAAUUUUUUAGGGAAUUUAAAAAAAAAAAAGUUUUUCAGAGAGUAUUUUCAUACAUCUAUCUGAAGGAAUUUUUUCAAAACCCGAGUUGUACACAUCUCGCUUACAGAGUGCACCUAAGGCGAGAUAUGACUUUUGAAUCUUAGAGGUAGACCACUGGUACCCUAAUGCACUGAGUUAUUCUUCAAGGAUGGUGGAUCUAUUUCAAUGACAAAGUUUGUCACGCCUCAACCAAUAAGUUUUUCUUCUUAUUCAUUUUGUUAUUUGUUUGUGUCUUUUGGACUAGUCUUUUGUUUCCAUACCCUUAAAUCCAAUAAUCUUGAAAUAAAUCCAAAUGGAAGCUUCCCUAGUUCACACCCGUCCUAACACCUCUAAAAUUGAUCCAUUCAACAAGACAUUCUUUAAGAGAUGACAAGAAAGGGUUUUCUCUGCAAUUGAUGUAGUGAACUUGGAACACAUUUUGACAAUUUCAAAACUAGAAGAUAGUUCUCAUCUGUUACCAACCUGGGAAAUAAGAAAUAAAUAAGUUAGGCAUGCUAUUCUGAGUACCCUUUCUAAUGAACUUUUUUAUAUUUAUUGUUAAUUUAAAGUUGCAAAAGAAAUUUGGGAUGCAAUGAAUAAAAAAUAUAUUUUGGAAGAUGCAGAAACUCAGAAAUGUGCCAUAGGGAAUUUUAGAAAUUUCCAAAUGACCGAGGAUAGAGAUGUAUCAUCUCAAAUCCAUGACUACCACUUGUUGAUUAAUGACUUAGCUAUUGAAGGCAUUAAAUUACCCAAAUCUUUUGUGGUUGGUUAUUGAGUAGAGACUCUUCUAGAGUCUUGGAAAUACUAUAAAAAUAACAUGAAACAUAAAAGGAAACAAAUGUCCUUAGAGGAUGUAAUAAUCCAUAUUAGGAUUGAGAAACAAAACCGAAAUAGGGACAAUAUUGAGAAAGCUAAGGAAAUGUCUUCUAAAGCUAAUGUAGUAGAAGAAAAAUCUAAACCUAAAAACAACAGGUCCAGGAAACAAAACUCUAGGACCAAGCCCAUUGCAUCAAACAAGGUCCAGAACUCAACUAUUAAAAAACGAGGUAAUUGCUUUGUCUGUGGCAAGUCUAGACACUAUGCAAUUCAAUGUCACCAUAGGAAGAGAACUGAGAAGUUCAAUUCAAAGGCAAUCUAGCAGUGGCAAAGGUGAUCACAACAGUAAUCUCUUCUGAGGUGAGCAUGGUCACCAAUAUGAAGGACUGGGUGGUAGACUCUAGGGCUACUAAGCACAUCUGUGGGAAUAGAAGUGCAUUUACUUCCUAUACCACUGUAAAUGAAGGAGAGAAACAAGUGUUCAUGGGUGAUUCUAGAUCUACUCUAGUGAUUGGCAAAGGAAAAGUUCUCCUCAAGCUAACCUUUGGAAAAGUGCUUGCCCUCAGUGAUGUUCUUCAUGUGCCAAAUAUCCGUUGGAACUUGAUGUCAGUAUCUCUGCUUGGAAAAGCAGGAGUGAGGAUCUUGUUUGACUCUGAUAAAAUAGUUUUAACCAAGAAUGAUGAAUUUGUGGGAAAGGGCUAUUGUAUUUAGGGUUUAUUUAUGUUGAAUGUUUAUGAUAUUAUCAAUAAUAAUGCAUCUUCUUCUUCUGCUUACAUAGUUGAUUCUUGUGAUAUUUGGCAUGGUAGACUAGGACAUGUGAACUUUUCAUAUAUGAAGAAAAUGGUUGAAUUGAGUUUAAUCCCUAAACUGUCCUUAGAAAACCAUAGAAAAUGUGAAUCUUGUGUAGAAUCUAAAACCACAAAAAAAUCUUGCAAAUCAGUUGAAAGAUAAUCAGAUCUACUAAGUUUAAUACACAGUGACUUAGGAGACCUAAAAAAUACAAUGACUAGAGGUGGUAAACGAUUCUACAUAACUUUCAUAGAUGACUACUCAAGGUAUACAAGGGUAUAUCUUUCGAGAAAUUAAAAAUGAACCAAGAGAUGUUUUCAUCAAGUACAAAAAUGAAGUGGAAAAUCAACUAAAUAAGAAAAUUAAAAGGCUUAGAACUAAUAGGGGAAGAGAGGAUGAGUCCAACCCCUUCAAUUAUUUUUGUGAAGAUCAUGGGAUCAUUCACAAAACUACUCCUCCUUAUUCCCCUGAGUCUAAUGGAGUAGCAGAAAGGAAAAAUAAGACCUUAAAAGAAAUGAUGAAUGCAAUGUUGGUAAGUUCAGGAGCACUCUUGAACUUGUGGGGGGAAGCUAUCCUAUUCGCAUGUCAUAUUCAAAAUAGAAUGCCUUACAAGAAAACUAGUAAAACUCCUUAUCAGAUGUGGAAGGGUUAUGCACCUAAUAUAGCAUACCUGAAAGUAUGGGGGUGUUUAGCUAAAGUUCUUCUCCCUGAACCUAAAAAAGUUCAUUGGCUAUGCUGAGAAUAGUGUGGCAUGUAGGUUUCUUGUUACUAAGUCAUAAAACAGUCUUGUAGAUGUCAAUACUAUAAUAGAAACAAAGAAUGUAGAUUUUUUUGAAAACAUCUUUCCUAUGAUACUAAAUAGUGAACAACAAGUUCAGAAAACAAGUAGAGACGAGUCUAUUGAACCUUCUGAAUUUAAACCUAGAAGGAGUAAAAGAGAUAGGAAAGAAACAAACCUUGGAGAUGGUUUCUACACCUUCCUAAUAGAUGAUGACCCUAGAUUCUACAAAAAAAAGCUAUAACUUCUCCUGAUGCACCAUUUUGGAAGGAGGUCAUUAAUAGUGAAAUCGAAUUAAUCAUGUACAACCAUACAUGGGAGUUAGUAGAUUUACCUCAUGGUGCAAAGAGCAUUGGUUGUAAGUGGAUCUUUAAAAGAAAGUUGAAACAAAAUGGGUCUAUAGAGAAGUAUAAAGCUCGUUUAGUUGCCAAAGACUUUAAAUAAAGAAAAGAUGUAGAUUACUUUGACACAUUUGCCCUUGUGACUAGAAUAGCAUCAAUUAAAGUAUUGAUUGCUCUAGCUUCCAUUCAUAAUUUAGUGAUACACCAAAUAGAUGUCAAGACUACAUUCUUGAAUGGGGAUUUGGAAGAAGAAAUUUAUAUGGAACAACCUAAGGGUUGUGUAGUUCCAAGAAAGGAGAAAAAGGUGUGUAAGUUGGUUAAAUCACUAUAUGGGUUAAAACAAGCUCCCAAACAGUGUCACAACAAGUUUGAUCAUGUGUUAGUAACUAAUGGAUAUUCCAUUAAUGAUGUUGAUAAGUGUAUCUAUAGCAAGUAUGAGGAUAACACAUGUGUAGUCAUAUGUCUUUAUGUUGAUGACAUGUUGAUCUUUGGAACUAGCCUAGAGGUUGUGUGUGGGACCAAGAAAUUCUUAGGUUCUAAGUUUGAUAUUAAAAACCUAGGAGAGGCAGAGGUGAUUUUAAGAAUGAAAAUAACUAAAACACCUAAUGAGUUUAAACUUUCUCAAGAGCACUAUGUUGAAAAGAUCCUAAGGAAGUUUGAACACUUUGAUUGUAAACCAGUGUCAACUCCUUAUGAUCCCAGCUCACAGCUAAAGAAAAAUAGAGAACAUAGUGUUGCCCAAAUAGAGUAUGCUCGGAUCAUAAAGAGCCUAAUGUACUUAAUGAACUGUAUCAAACCUGACAUUGCUUAUGCAGUAGGUAGAUUGAGUCGGUACACCCAAAGUCCUAAUUAGGACCAUUAGAUUGUUGUUCGUAUAGUCCUUAAGUAUUUGAAAGGCACCAUUAACUAUGGUUUGUGCUUUAGUGGACUUCCAAGUGUCCUUGAAGGAUUUAGUGAUGCAAAUUGGAUCUCGAAUUUAGAUGAGAUGAAAUCCACUAGUUGAUAUGUUUUCAUCCUUGGUGGAAGUAUAGUUUCUUGGAAGUCUGCCAAGCAAACUUGCAUUACUCGAUCUACUAUGGAGGCUGAGUUUAUUACCUUAGAGAAAGCAAGUUUUGAGGUUGAAUGGCUUAGAAACCUCUUAGCAGAUAUCCCUUUAUGGAUGAAACCAACCCUGUUUGUGUCUAUGCGUUGUGAUAGCCAAGUUGCAAUUGCUAAUGUUAAGAGUAAAAUAUUUAAUGGGAAGAACAAACAUAUACGUUGAAGGCAUAAUAUUGUACGGCAGUUGCUUGAAACAAGGGUUAUAUCCUAGAAUUUGUGAGGUCGGAGUUGAAUUUGGCCAAUCCUUUGACCAAACCACGAAAUAAGAAACUAGUGGAAGAAACAUCGAGGGGGAUAGGGCUUAUCCCUAUUAUAGAAGUCAAGAGUGGUGGUAACCCAACCUAUUACAAUGGAAAUUUCAUAAAGUAGGUUCAUAUGGGUAAUAACAAAUCACUUGUUGACUUGAGGUGCUUUAUCAACUCUAAUUGUAUGAGAGUUCAUCCUUAUGGUGUAAAUAGAGCGUAUACUGCAUUGAUUAAGGUUGAGUAUUUACUCUUAAUGAAUACCAUAUUCCUUAUGGGUGGUAUGUUUAAAUGCAAAACAUACUUGAUGGAUUCACCUAUAUGAGAGUGGAGGUGGGGCCGCUUCCUAUGAGAACUUAGGCAGGUUCUCUAAAGCUCUCAUGAAUAUCUAGGUAAGGCGCAUGACCUAUUUGUGCCAACCGGUUUUGUACAGCUCGUAGUUUAGUUAAGAAAACCAUGUGAAUAAAAUUCCCUUGAGUUACAUCAAGAAACACCGGUUCAUAGAAAUUUAUUUUCACCGUGUUUUGUGAUUCAAUACUUAUUUGUCCUCAGACUGGUUCAUAGCCUUUGGGCACCAUUAUUGAUGCAUUGGAUUUUUUUUUUCCUCAAAAAAAAAUUGCGUUUACACUUUGUGGGGUAUUUUAUUCUAUGAGUCUUAUAUUUUUUGGAAGAGUCCUAUUGGGAUUGUGAUAAUGGAGUCUCAUUCCUUUUAUAAGUAGAAUCCCCUUCCACUUUGAGUCUUGUUCUGAUUACAAGUCGAUUCUUAUUGGGAUUGUGUUAGUGGCCUAUAAAAGUAGGUCACCCCUUACUUUCUAUAUAUGAAUACCAAUUUUUCAGAGAAUUUUUAAAAAGAGUUUUUCAAAGAGUAUUUUUAUACAUCUAUCUAAAGGAAUUUUUUCAAAACCCGAGUUGUACACAUCUCAUUUACAGAGUGCACCCAAUGCGAGAUCUGACUGUUGAAUCCUAGAAGUAGACCACUGGUACUUUAGUAUACCGAGUUAUUUUUCAAGGAGGGUGGAUCUAUUUCAAGGACAAUGUUUGUUACGCCUCAGGCGAUAAAUUUUUCUUCUUAUUCAUUUUGUUCUUUGUUUGUCUUCUUCUUAUUCAUUUUGUUCUUUGUUUGUCUUUUGGGUUAGUCUUUUGUUUCCAUACCCUUAAAUCCAACACCAAGACCAUACAUAAAUGAAGGGGAAGAGGAAGAGAAAGCAAAACUUUCAUCUGAGAUCUGCAUGUGUCGGGCGGUGGAGGGUGCAUGGUACAUGGUUUGAGCUACAUGCCAUUGCAUGUGGUCCUUGAAGAAAUCAUGUUAACACAACCACAUAAAAUAAUUCAAUUCUAGAAAUGCAUCUGUAACCAGGGAAAUCUAUACUGGCAUCUGUGCAUAAACUUAUGCGAGAAAUAUGGUACCAAGUCUCUGCAGAUUUAUACGUGGCCGACAUCGUGGAUGUCCUGUGAACUAGAUGCGGAUUACUAGUCUAUUCAAGGGAUGGACCUCCCCUACAAAAAAUCUAUGUGAGGUUUGUCGUCUCAUGCAGUUUUAAACGUAGGAAAAUGAAGUUAGUAAGAGAGUCACAUGUGGUUUUUUGGUCCUUUAGCUCAAUCACGGGCUCAACAGUCGCUACAAGUUAAAACAUCCUCAUUCAGAAACCGCGUCUCCCUGAUUCUCGUCCGGAAAAGUUGAAAUUCGAAGCAAAAGUACUUAUCUGCAGCCCAACUUGAAGCUAGAGGCAUUGAAGUUCGAUGCUACAUAUUCAGAGUGAUUUGUGGUGCUCCUUAAGUCAAUUGGGUCAUGACAAAUGAUCCAAUCGACUACGGAGAAAAUAGGGCGAUUUGUGGGGUCAUGUCUCUUCCCCACACAGUUGGAUACACUAUAAAGAAGGCUAGUGACUAACAUGGAUUUUCAUCCACAGGCACUUGCUGGGUUUUGCGUUAUGGGGAAGCAUGGUCUGGCUACCUGGUUGGUCAUCCUUCUCAACUUCGCUACACUUCUCACUUCUCUUGCUUGUUCCUACUGCCCAUCCCCAACUCCUCCUAAACCACCCAAGGUAAAGCACCCCCUUCCGCCUCUUCCACCUAAACAUCCUCCACAUGUCAAGCCACCGCAUACACCUAUGCCACCCAAGCCUCCUGCUGUAAAACCACCAUAUGUACCUAAUCCUCCAGUUGUGGAGCCGCCUUAUGUGCCCAAGCCUCCUGUUCUAAAUCCGCCUCAUGUGCCCAAACCUCCUAUUGUAAGGCCUCCUGUUGUAAAACCACCUUAUGUGCCCAAGCCACCAGUGGUUCAGCCCCCACCGCCACCAGUGGUUCAUCCCCCACCGCCACCAACACCGUGCCCACCACCACCACCCCCCAAGGGGAGGCCCCCACCACAAAAGAAGCCUCCUGUUCUAAAUCCGCCUCAUGUGCCCAAACCUCCUAUUGUAAGGCCUCCUGUUGUAAAACCACCUUAUGUGCCCAAGCCACCAGUGGUUCAGCCCCCACCGCCACCAGUGGUUCAUCCCCCACCGCCACCAACACCGUGCCCACCACCACCACCACCACCCAAGGGGAGGCCCCCACCACAACAGACAUGCCCCAUUGACACUCUGAAGCUAGGUGCAUGUGUGGAUUUGUUGGGAGGGCUUGUGCACAUUGGGAUAGGAAGUAGUGCUAAGGACACAUGCUGUCCAGUGCUGCAAGGGCUUGUGGACUUGGACGCUGCCGUCUGUCUUUGCACCGCCAUCAAAGUCAAGCUUCUUAACGUCAAUAUCAUCAUACCCAUUGCUCUUCAAGUCCUUGUUGGCUGUGGCAAGACUCCACCUUCAGGAUUCCAAUGCCCUGCCUAAGGUAAUCCAUCCUUCAAUUUUGUCAUUAAUUUCACAUAAUUCGCCCAUGUCUUCCCAUAUACGAAGAAGUUGACUAGUACUUUUCCUCGUUAAUGAUUGCAG